Molecule: long non-coding RNA, 70264 nt
Filed under: Glycine max (soybean)
Lineage: Eukaryota; Viridiplantae; Streptophyta; Magnoliopsida; Fabales; Fabaceae
Description: long non-coding RNA (GMAX_LNC000463)
Source: RNAcentral
UUUUUUUUUUUUCUUUGAGUUUGGGUCACUUGUAAAAUCUUAUAGUCAAAACAUUUUAUUUUUAUUUUUUUUUGGAAAAAGAAAAGACAAAAACGUAUUUUGUUACGAUAGUGGUUCGUUUGAUGCAGGCAAAUCGAGUCAUGGAGGUGUAAAGAGUAAAGACAUUUGCUAUAAUUGUUGGAUCAUUAGCUGGAGUGGCUAUACUUAUUAUUUGUCUUGCUUUCAUGAGCAAGAUUUGUGGGUGACAUGGUAAGUUGUAUACUAUAUAUGUACAAUUUUUUCUAUUUGUGUUCCUAUCUAUUUUAAUUUGAUUUAUUAUAUUGAGAAAAGAAAACAUGGAUUCAUAGCAAUAUACUAACAUAACUCCUUUUUAUUAUAUCUUUCUCGUGCAGGUAAAUAAAUUAAAUUAGAUUUGAAACUCAGAACGGCAAUAGGCCAAUAGCACUUAACAAUUCUCACUUGUUGCCUUCCUAAUCUCGUGUUUGGUUUGCUUUUCUAUCUCUCUUGCUUCCUUUUUCCCUCCUUUUUUUCUUUAUUUUACUUUCACCUAUUAUGUUUCAAUUUUAAAAUUUGAUAAUUAUCCUUAAAAACGUUAUUUUAAUCACCACUUUGUGGAGAAUUAUGUCAAUAUUUCAUUAUAUUUAAGUUUGUUUGACCUUGUUUAUAAUUAAGUUUUGAAUAAAUUAGAAUAGCUUUAGAAUAGUUUAAAGGUUUGAUUUUUCAUCUAAUUUUAGUUUAUUUUAUUGUAAAAAUAAAUGAAGAAAGAAGAGAGCUCCGAUUGGGAUUCAAUUCAAGGCUUUUUCAAAGAAAAUUUUUGAGACUAAAGGGGUCAGUGUUAGGAUUUUAUUUCAUAUUAGAUUUAACUUAUAAGUCAAGUGUAAUCCAAUCAUAUGUAGUAACUAAACUAUCAUCCAGAUCGUCUCUCAAAGGAAUAAAGGAGGAAUUUCAUAUGAUUAUUUAACUAAGAACUAGGUUUUGUAUUUUUGUUUUGUGAUUGUCAUGAAAUAAAUAGCAAAAAAUUAUAAUAAAAAUUAAAUGAUAAUAAAAUAAUUAAGUAAAGAUAGAAAUACUAGAUUUAUAUGUUGAUGUCAAUCUUGAUGAAUGAAUGUUUAGGUUUAGACUUUAAAUUCGCUUGAUCCACUAUAACUUCACAAUUAUCUGCUCAUCCUCAAUUCACUGAUGUAUUCUACUUUAGCUCUCACUUGGUCACAGAUUCUAACUUACUUUUCCAAUAUCCAAUUCCUUGGAUAUACUGAUACAAGCAAUUAACAUUAAUGGUCGUGAAUUAGUGAGACUUAACCAAGAUUUUUCUAUUCCUUGAAAUUAUUACAAUUAAAUACUUGACUCAUAUUCGAGUUCCAACAAAGCUCACCAAAGCCCAAGUCAAUUUUUUAAUUCAUCUAUAAGAUGAUCCAUCAAAUAAAAGCAUUAAGUAUGAAAACAAAUAAAGAACUCAAGAUGAAGUAUUGAAUUGAGAAUUAAAACAAAACAAGGUUUAUCCUUUCAUCUCCUAGGUGGAAGGAAUUGUACUCAUAAAAUAAUACAAUAAAACUUAAAGUGUCUAAUAGAAUAAUGUAGGCGUUUAAUAGGUAGAGAUCUAAAAUAUAAUUUUAAGAAUUGUUUAGGACUUCAAUAUUGUUACAUUGAAUGUCUAGUCUCCUAUUUAUAUAAUUGUAGUUAAGUUUAAUUAAGGAGAUAAUCACAAAAAAUUACAAACAAAUAAUAUCUCUAAUUAAUUCAAGUAAUUAUCUUCUUUUUUUAAGUUGAUUUAUUCUUGAAAAAUAUAUAUUUUUUAUUUUCUUAGCUUUUAUCAUUAAUUUUCAUAAUUUCUUCUUCUAAAACUGUUAAUUUUAAACUUUUGAAGCUCGGGUCAGAAUGACAUGUUUUUUUCCCAAAAAAAUCAAAAUUUCAUUAAAAAUAAUUAAAAGAUAAUAUGGCUGGUCAUGACUGAUGACUAUAUAUAGCAAGUAGGGAUUAGAAUUAUAAACCAAGACAAAACUAAUAAUAACAUGCAUUAAUUUAGAAACCCAUCUCUUUCGGCGUGCCAGAAUUGGGGUUAGCACCCACCUUGCUCCUCUCUCCUCACUCCUAAUGCUGGCAUAAAAAACCAUAUAUAUAUAAUAGAAAGAAAUUAAGGAAAUAAAGUCAAUAUCAGUAUAGGUUUUGUUCUUUAGUUAAAGCAAGAGCCACAGAUCAAUUGCAUGCAUUAACUUCAAAUUCAAAUUAUUAUGAUUCUUAUAAUUAAUUUUGUUUGUCUUUGAAAUUACACCAAAUUAAUUAAUAGCUGAUCAACAUUAUAUAUAAUAUAUUUGUCUUUGAUAUAUAGUAUACUUCGAGUAGGGUACCUAUUAAUUUAUAUUUGUCUUUGAUAAAUAGUUGAUCACCACUUGCAAUAUUGUAAUUUAUAGAGUGCAACAUGACGAAAAAAAUAGUCAAAUUCUCUUGUGAUUUAGUCUCAGAACUGUAAAAUUUUCCGCCACUACUAUCCUAUGGUGAAAUACAUACUUUCUGCUAGCUAUAUUAAUAAUCCUUGUACACCUAUUAAAGACGAUAUAUUAUUAACCGAUGCAACAUAAUUCAUGUAAUUGAUGAACUAUUAAUUCUAGGCUUUGCUAAAGUUAGGAUGAGAAUUGAGGGCGGUUGUGCGAUGUCACAGUUGUCCUUGAGUGUCUUCAAUCGAAAAAUUUGAGAUGGUGUUGUGUGUGUGUGUGUCAAAGGAAAGUGUCGUAGUCCUUUCCUUUAUCAGCGUGAACUUUACUUAGCAAUUAAUCCAUAGAGGCAUAGAAUAAUAAUAUAUUCAGAAAUCAUUGGUAUACUUUCACCAAGUUUGAUAAUGAGCACAUAUAUAUCUAACGCCAAUAUUACACAAUUAAGUCCGUGGGCUUUGGCCAAUGUUGCCUUUCCACACAUGCAUCAUGCAUAGACUAUAUAUGCUUUAGGAAGAUGAUAGAAGCAAGUGUGUAUAUAUAUAUAUAUAUAUAUAUAUAUAUAUAUAUAUGAAACAAUAAAAAUAAAUUUAAACAUCAUUUUAAGAUAGUUUAAAGUUUUAACUUAGAACGAGUCAUGCCAUCUCAAAAACAAAUGGGCUUGUUUUAUUACGUGGAAAGUGAUCACUUUAAAGUAGCUAGUCCAUUCCCGAAAUAAAAUGCAAAGAAUUGAUCUGUUGCUAAAUGAUUGCACGAUUGAGCUGCCACAAAGUAGUAGAAUAUAUAUAUUUCUGCAAAAUUUAUUUGAAAAUCAGUGCUUCAAACCAGUGCUAAAUUUAUUUGCACCUAUAUGAAUUGAUGUUAAUUAACGUAUGAUUCCAAAUUCGAAGAGGUUUCAAACAACUCAAUUCAAUUAGAGAGAAAUUUCUUAUACUUUUGUACCAUUUCAAGUGUGUAUUACUGACUAACGAGUAGCUUAGACUGUCGCUCUCUCCAACUUAAUCAGAUAUUCAGUGCUUACCGUGCAAUUUUUCCCUCUCUGAUAAGAUCUAACAAUCUUCAAUUCCUUCGAUUAAGUUAACUUCUCCAACAUUUAAAAUUAGAAUAUAAUCAACAAUAAAUUUCUCAGUGGUUUAUAAUUGCAAGAAUUUUAAAUUCAUUUUUUUAAAGAAAGAAACUAAAGUUGCUACUUUGUUUGAAUUAUAUCAACCAAAAAGAAAAGCAACCAAACUAAGCUAAAAAAAAGAGUUCACACCGACUCUAAAAUAAUCGAAGAGAAGCUUUUUUUUUUCGUUAUUAUGUAGAUUUUGCUUAUUUAAAGCAACUCAAUGUGGUGGAUCUCGUUCCAUAGUUCAAAACCUUCGUUCAAUUCAAGCAAAUAAUAGCACCCAAAAAAAAAAACACUCACAAUUUCACAUGCAUAUAAAAGUGCUGCCCUAGACACUCAAAACCCUACGUACGUCAACAUCUGGGAAAAAUAAAAAUGGCGAAAAGGAGCAAUAUCUCACACACACUAUUGAGUAGUAUGUAUGUUUUUUUGUGCGUGGUUGGGUUUUCGGAGUGUUCGAGCAUAAGCACGUUCCUCUACAGCGGGUGCACGCAGCAACGGUACACUCCCAACUCGCCCUACGAGUGGAAUAUCAACUCGUUACUCACCUCGCUGGUGAACUCGGCGACGUACUCUGCUUAUAACAACUUCACGGUCGUGGGGUCCACUCAGCAGGACGCGGUGUACGGGCUCUACCAGUGCCGCGGCGACCUCGCCAUGCCGGACUGCGCCGCCUGCGUGGCCCGAGCCGUCACGCGCGCCGGCGACAUCUGCCGCGGCACGUGCGGCGGCGCGGUGCAGCUCGACGGCUGCUUCGUGAAGUACGACAACGCCACGUUCCUCGGCGCGGCGGACAAGACGGUGGUGCUGAAGAAGUGCGGGCCGUCGGUCGGGUACAACCCCGACGCCAUGGGGAGCCGCGACGCCGUGCUCGCCGGACUCGCCGCCGCCGGUGGGAACUUUCGCGUCGGUGGGUCCGGUGGGGUACACGGCGUGGCGCAGUGCACCGGCGACCUGAGCUACGGGGAGUGCCAGGACUGCGUGGCGGAGGCGAUCUCGCGCCUGAAGAGCGAUUGCGGCACAGCGGAUUACGGUGACAUGUUUCUCGGGAAGUGUUACGCGAGGUACUCCGUUGGUGGGGCCCACGAUGAGUCCAAGGCCCACGGUAAGGCCCAUCAUCAUGAUCAUCGCAUGCUUCCUCUUCUCUUACUACCUCUCAUGGGUUUCAGGUUUUAAACUCCAAACAAUAAUAAGCUUGUAGAUUGGAAAGGAUGUAAAAAAAUGGAAAUUGUAAUUUUCUUUGUGAAAUUGUAAGAAUUAAAGCUUUAAUAAAGGUUUAAUUGCUUCAUGAUUUUAAUUUGGUUGCGGUGAGAAAAAAAUCUUCACACAUUAUAGUCAAUUACGAAAGAAUACAACUAAUGUAAUAAAAAAAAAACAUGUAAUUGUAGAGUGUCAAAAUAAUUUAAUCUUGCGCACUGUAAUUUAAAACUAUGAAUUACUUCUAUAUUUUAAUUCUCACAUAAUCACUUUAACUAAUUUUAGUUUUCUUACAUAAUACUUUAAUUCAUUUUAGUCCUUUCAAUUUUAUAUGAUGGGAACUAAAAUAAAUUAAAUAAUGUAUACAUAAAGACUAAAAUUAUAAAUUUUUGGUGUAAGGAUUAAAAUAUAAAAAUUGUGCAAAUAUAGAAAAUAAAUGAGUAAUUAAACUUUUAAAAGUUGUUUUCUUUUGGAUAAGUAAAUUGAGAGCUUUGUUUAUUUACUUAUAGUAGUCGACCUUCAUGUAUAAACAAGACUAUGGUUCGUUGCUUUUGCUUUGAGUUUGGCUGUUUGGGUCACUUGAAAACAUAUAUUUUUGUUACAAAAAGAAAGAAAAUAACUUGUUUUAAUUUUCUGUAAUGGUGGCUCGUGUGUUGCAGACAAAUCGAAUCAUGGAGGUGUAAAGACAUUUUCUAUAAUUAUUGGAUCAUUAGCGGGAGUGGCCAUACUUAUUAUUUUCUUUGCUUUCAUGAGCAAGAUUUGUGGGCGACAGGGUAAGUAGUAUAUAUGUACUUUUUUUUUCCGUUUUUCAUAUAUUUUAAUUUGGUUUAUUGUAUUGAGAAAAGAAAAGAAAAUGAUUCAACAAAUAUUCUAACAUGAUUCCUUCUUUUUUAUUGUAUCUUUCCCAUGCAGGUAAAUAAAUUAAAUUAAGCUUGAGAUUCAAAGUGGCAUGAGCACAUGUCGAUCAGUUUUCACUAGUUGCCCUCCCAAUCUCCUGUAUUGGUUUGCUUUUGUGCCUCUUUUACUUUUUUCUUUUAUUUUUCUUUCUUUAUUUUACUUACUCUUUUUUUGUUUCAAAUUUAAAAUUCAAUUCGAAAGAGAACUUUGAACCUUGAGGAGGAUACCAUAUGAAAAAAAAGAAUGUACAAUGAACAUUUGUAUUUGAAAUUUUGAAUAAAAGUUUGUGCUGUCUAAUGUCUCAUUCUUGUAAAGAAAAAAAGUGAAUAUAUUAUUCUUUUGUUUCUUUAAAGUUGUAUAAUAUUUUUGCUUUGCUUUUCAACCUUAUGUGCGCCCACGAACUUUUUGGACGGUUACUUAAAAUUUGUACAAGAUUAACUAAUCGGUUUAAUGGUACAUUAAAACAUUGCAUGAAUGAUUUAACAAGAUUUGAUUAUUGUACAAACACACUUGAACCACAACUAAGUUAAGGAAAACUUACUCUACCACGAAGAAGUUUAUACUCUACCUCUUUGACCUAAAAUAAUACUACAAUACUAGUCAAACCAAGGAUCAUUUUGCAGAUCUUUAGUGUUUGUUUAGCUUGUCAAUGACCUCAUAUACUGCAGCAAAGCUCUCUAUCUUAAAUGAUUCCAGUCCUAAGAAUUUUUUUAAAAAAUGACAAUAUUCUUUUUUAAAACUCACAAGUCACAAUUAGCUCAUGUACCUCACUUUGAGAUAUCGGAACACUGUCUCUAUCAAUAAUGUACCUGUGUUUGUUAUCCGUGAAUGAAAGGAACAAAAGUGUAACAUGGGGAAUGGAAUUAUGGAAACUUCCCAUAACUUGAAAGAGCUAUAUAUUAUUUCAUGGAUACCGUGUUUCGGUUUUGGAUUGAAAAUCUUCAUAUCAUAAUUUAGAUUAAAGUUACAUGGAAUAAUCUAGCUUUUAUCUAAUAUUUAAAAGAUUUGAAACUGAAAGUUAAGCAUAUACUAAAAGUCUAAAACACAGUCAAGAACUGAAAAGUGAUUGUCAAAAUGAAAAUUAAAAGGAGACUUGAAUUAUGAACCACAUUAUUUUAUCUUAUAUAUACUGUAUAAUAAUAAAACCAUUUUUUUUUUGUAUUUGUGUUUCUUUUUUACGAAUUGCAAGCCCAAUAACUUGUCCUAUAUUUCCAGCGCCAGACUCUAAGUCAUAUAUCACAGAGAGUUCCUAUUGGCCCUUUCAAGUUUUGUUAUUGACCCCUACACCAGCUUGAAAAGUUCCUUCUGUCCCCAUUUCAAAUUCUUUACCCCCUCCCUGUCCCUGGCACCCCUUCCCCUUCUCCUUUAUCCUUUAUCCUUCCUCCUUCCCCUUUCUUCCUUCUCCUUCUAGUUCUGCUUCUCCUUACCCAAGUCCAACCCAAAUGAACCCUUACCUUCCCCUUUGUUUUGUUAUAUUUUUUUUAUAGUUUUUUUAUUCAACGGAAUCACAAUUUUGUUUUUUUUAAUAUCACAACGGAAUCACAAUUUUAUUGUUUAAUUUUUUUUAACUCAAAAAAAUUGUGAUUUCAUUGUAUUGUGGAAACAUAUAAUAACUGAAUCAUGAUUUCAUUGUAUUAAAGGAGUGCUAAAAAAAAUAACAAUGGAAUGUGAUUUCAUUGUUACGUUUGUGCUGACAUAAAAAAUAUACUUGUGAUUUCGUUAUGUUUGAGGGGUGGGAGAGAAAUGGUUGAACAAUAGAAUCUUGAUUCUGUUAUACAUUUUAUUCAACGAAUUAUGAUUUGGGGGAAAAGACAUUUUUGGAAUAAAAAAGGGAUCAGGGGCCAAAAGCAAUUUGAAUGGGGCCAGUAGCAACUUCUUACUACAUUACUAAGCCCAAAUAAUUGGGCUCCAAUUGGAAAACCCAGUUGCAGCGUACUUCCUAUUUCGCUUUUUAGUAAAAGAACCCAAAACCAUAACAGCAGAUAAUUGUUAAUUGAUGACGAACAUAGGAUCAAUCAAAGAACAUUCUGGAGUGUCCGCGACCACUAACACAAAAUACAUAUUAUAAUUUCAUUGUUCAUCACAAAAAUUGAAAGCACCAUAUCAUUAGACAACGUGUUUUUCUACUAGAGAUCUCUUUUCUCUAGCUAGUGUAAUAUCAUUAAUCAAUGGCUGGCACUAUCUUUGGAUACCCUUUCAGACACUUCAUCUGGGGUCACCCACCAAUUUUCAAAGAAUGGUCCGGCUCAACAGCCCUCUUAGAUUGGCUCGAAUCACCCACUGCCCACAUCUUAAAAAUUAACGUUCCAGGUAACAUGUUAAUAUUUGUAUAAAAAAGAACUGAAGAGUUAUUUAUGUGCUUUUGAUGUUAUUUUUUAAUCUGAGAGAAGAUGUAGCUCAUUUGAUUGAACAAAGAGUAUUAGUUGUUGUUGUAAAUCAUCUGGUACCGGUCUUCAAUUAUGAAUUUUUUUUUUCAAAGUUUUAAUUACUUUGAUUUGAUAAUCUAUGUUAAUAUUUAAUGUAAAUUUUUGUUACACAUGUUAUAGAAGUGAAACUCCAAUUCUAAUAAGGAGAAUAAUAGUAAAAUUUUGCCUAGAAUUACAUCUAAAAUGUGUCCUUUAUUUAUCACACUCUUUCACCCUUUCUUCACUUUUGAUGACCCGUUAGAAUGUUGAGUGGUGAUUCUGUGUAUGAUGGUGAAAAUGAAAUCUUUUUGUGGGUUUGACUUGAUUAGUGGAGUGGUUGAAUGAUUAUAAUUGAGUUUUGGAUGAUGGGUAUUUGUGUGGAUAGGAUUCAGCAAGGAAGACAUAAAGGUGCAGAUUGAGGAUGGGAAUAUUCUUCACAUCAAAGGGGAAGUUUGGAGAGAGGAGCCUCAAGCAAAGGAGAAGGAUACUGUUUGGCAUGUGGCUGAGAGAGGCACUGGGAAGGGAGGGUUCUCAAGGGAAAUUGAAUUGCCAGAGAAUGUGAAGGUGGAUCAGAUUAAGGCACAGGUGGAGAAUGGAGUCCUCACUAUAGUUGUGCCUAAAGAUGCAACACCCAAAACGCCUAAAGUGAGAAACAUUAACAUCACUAGCAGGCUUUAAGGUUUUGAAAUCUAGAAUAUGUUUCUAUGAAUAAUAAUUGAGAACAAGAAAAAAAAAAUGUGUUAAUGAUGUACUAAGGAAUAAGACAAUAUCGGUUCUUUUGUAUGUGUGUGUGUGUAUAGUGUCCCCUCUUUGAUUGAUAUGAACCUUGUGUAAAUUUCAUGUUACUUUGUUGAAACCUUGCUAAAUAAACCAAGAGCUUGCACUAGUCUAAAAGAUCCGAUUCCUCCCACCUUGAUCCGUCUGGAAACAUAAUUUGGUAUGGAAAAAAACCAGAUAUUAGAAAUGAGGCAUACUCUAUCCAACUAUCCAUCUAAUCAGUCAUCAAUAGUGUGAAUAUUAUAUUGGAGCUGUGUAAUUGGUAGCAAGUUACCAACUAGAUUUCAGAGGAACGUGAGGUGUGUGAAUAAUAGUAGAUAGAAAAUUAGUUUUAAGAGCCUGUUUGAUUUUCAGUCCAACUUGUAGUGUACAAAUUUCGAAUCAAAAUUCAAUAGUCCAUCACAAAUUGAACGCAAAAGGAAGGUUGUGAAUGUUUUGAUUAUUCAAGCAUGCACUAAGUCUCUGGCCUAUAGAUUUGAUUAUCAGUUGAGCUGAUACUGUGGGGGACUGGGGAGUACUGAUUUGGGCCUUUAAAAAAUCUUUUAUCAAUUUCUAUUUGCAAGCAUAAGUAGCACCAAAACUAAAAAUUAUGUUAUAUUAUUCUGACUUCUUAAUUUUAGACUCUAGAACUUUCAAAAAUCUUAUAUUUAUUGAUCAUUUUAUUUUUACAUACAAUUGCUUCGAUCGAUCAUAUUUUAGAGCUGUUAAGCCAUUUUUGUUACUGCCUAUAAGAGUAACUUUAAAGGCAAUUACAAAAACUAUUUUACUGUCAAACAACGAUACCUUAACAAAUUGUAUCAAUAGAAAUUAUUUAUUAUUAGGAAUUUAUAUGUAAGCAACAAUUUUUUAUAUAACUCUUUUUAUAUUUUAUAUUCAUAUAAGUGAGAAUGAUUUAUUUAGUUAGAAAACUUUAAUUUUUAUUAUGUAAAAUUUUCUUGAACAAACAGUAGUAUAAAAAAUAAGAUUAGUCUUUAGACGAGUGGAUUGAACAUCUAUGAUUUAUGAUUUUAAAAAAAAUAUAAUCCUCCUGACUUAUUAAGUGAAAAAAGUGGACUCACAUUGUAUAGUUAUUGAACUAAAAUGAGUUGCAGAAAUAAUUAAAUAGAGUUGUUACCUAUGCCAUUAGCAAGAUGAUCACCCCAAUCAAUCGCCUUGGGCCUUGUUCUGGCUGGGUUUUUUAAAAUGGACGAUGGGCCACAUUCUUUUUAUUAAAUGAAUAUGAAUAUUGUUUGCGGUGAAACGAAAAAGUAUCUAAGAUGGCUUAUCACUAGCAUCUUCCAAUCAGUGUUAUUAACAUCCUCUAAUCAUUGCAUGUCACUGUUGCCACCUACAUGCUUUUGUCACAUUGUUACUAAUAGUCUUUUGAGAUAUCUUUUAUUUAGUGGAUUUCUUUAAAGCUGACUUUGAUUUAGAAAAGAGAAAUAUAAUAAAUGAAAACAAAAGAAAUAAUUUGAAAAAAGAGAAAUAGAAUAUAAAUAAAGUAAUAUGUUUAUUGUUUGAUUUAAAAUAAAUAUGUGAGAAAUAGAAUAGAAAUAAUUUUUUUGUGAAUAGAAUAGAAUUUUUUUUUUUGUAAAGUUACUUUGUAUGGAUAAAAUAAAAAAUUUCAGGGUGUGUUUAGUUUGUAUUUUUAUUUUCUGAAAACUGUUUUCAUUUUUAAAAAAUAUGAAUUCUAAAAACAUAUUUGGUUUGACUUCUUGUUUUCUGUUUUCAAGAACUAAAAACACUAAAAAUGUGUUUUCAAAAGAAAAUGUAUUUUUAAAUUUGCUUAAAAUUGCAUUCCUUGCCACCGGAUUUUCAUUUUACCCAAAAUGAGGUUUCUAAUUUUAACUGAAAAUACUGAAAAUGAGAUUUUAUUGUUUUCAGUUUUUGAUUCAUUUGGGAAAAUAUUUUCACUGAAAAUGUUUUCAAAAAUCCAACUAAACGCAUUUUCAUCACCAUUUUCUAUUUCAGUGAAAAUGAAAACAGAAAACAAUCAAACCAAACACCUCCUAAUGUUUUCUGCACCUACAAACUAGUAACUUAUUUCUGCAUAAAAUCAUCCACACCAAAUUUUGAGACAACAUUUGUGUUUUAUUUUUUCCUCAUCAUGAUAUUAAUACGAAAUAAUUUUGUGAAAAGUGAUAAUUAAUUUUUGUUGGGGACUAUAAGCACAUAUUAGGUGAAUAUUUCUUUUCCAAUAUGAUUUAUUUCAUACUAAGGGAUCAAUCAAGAUUCAAAUCUUGAAUCACUCGAUUAAAAGAUCCAAGUUGCUACCACUUAUGUCAAUCAUUAUUGAUAAAUAAUAUUUCUGUUUGUAUUUUUUAUUUGUUCAACCAAAUAGAGCAUAAGGCUAAAAAACAAAUAGAGAGCCAAAUCCAACUCAAUUUUACAAGAAUAAAUUUGCUUUGAAACUAGGCUCAAGUUUAAUAAAUUUUAGUGGGUUUUUUUUUUAUCAUAAUGGGUCAUUUUUGCUAACUAAAUAUCAUUUUAAGUUGGUCUCUAAUGUACUACCUUUCGUUCUAUAUACAAGAAACAUAGGGCAAAUCAUCAAGACUAAGAAAAGUGGUAGUUACAUUUAAUACUAUCAUAAAUUUAAAUUUUGUUCUAAAAGUGUCAUUAAGUUUAAAUAUUGUAAGUGAUGAUCUCAUUUAAUGUUAAUACUCAUAAUCCAAUGAGUGAAUGCCUAAUAAAUAGAGUUAACAAUGAAUUAAGGGUAUAAAAGAAAUUUAACCCUUGAUAAGUUUGAAAACUAGUUAGUGUUUCUUAUAAUUAGGACCAAAGAAAAAGUUAAUUUGUUGCUUAUAUAUAGGACAUGAGGUAGUAUUUAUAGAGUGGGUGAUUCAAGCUACAUAGGAUUUCGAUAACCCUAGUUACACAUGGGUGGUGUCACUUUGCAAAGUGUUACCUGUUCAGGUGGCUUCAUCCAGUCAGACAUAUUUUUUCAAAAUAGUAUAGUCUUUCUAACUUGGAGGUGUUACCCUGCAUGGCUUCACACAAGUUUAAUAGAAAUAUAUUUUGGGCAUUUUUGGACUAUGUAGAAAAAAUAUAUUUAUAUACAAUUUUAAUGUUGUGAUUUGUAGAAAAAAAUAUAGUAGUAUAUAAAUUUAAUGUUGUAUAAAAAAUGUUUUAUUUAAUAAUUUAAUAGAAAAUAGUAUAGUUGAUGAAUAAAGUUUAAUAGAAAACUAUUUUGGGCAUUUUUUAGUUUUGUAGGGAAAAUGGUUUUAAUUAAAAAAUUUAAUAGGUAAAAUAAUUUUAUAAUAAUAUUUAAUAGAAAUAUUAUUAAAUAAGAACUACAUGAAGCCAAGCAUCACCUAUGUGAAACUAUGUAGGGUGGUGUCACCAAUUCAGAAAGGUUGUGCUAUCUUAAAAAGAAACAUGUUUGACUAGGUGAAGCCAUAUAGGGUGAUACCACCAAAUCACUAAGUCACCUAAACUAGUGACAUUUUGUAGAGUGACGUCAAGUAGAGAAGAGUUGACCCAUGUCACCAAAAUCCUAUGUGACUCGAAUCAUCCAUGUUUGAUAAAUACUUUUUUAAAAUGUUAUAAUAAAAGUGCAUUAUAAAAUAUUAAUAUGUAUUAUUAACAUUUUUCUUCAUUCAACACUUUUUUCAGCACUAUUAUUGUUUUUUAUUUUUUCAUAUUUUAUAUUUCUCUAUUUUUUCUUCCUUGUAUAAUUUUUUGGGCAAUUUUUAUGCAAAAAAUUCUAAUAAAAUAUUCAAAUAAUAGGAUUUCAAAUUGGUUAAAAUUCACCCUAAAUAUUUACUUAAUCCAAAUAAAAAAAUGGACAAAGAGAAAAUAGUAUUUAUAUCUUUUGGUUGUUUUAUGACUUAAAUUUGUUUAAGAUUUCUUAUAAAUAACUAAAUUUUGUUAUAGGCCUUUAAUAAAUUUUUAUUGUUUUAUAUUUCAAUAUUAAAAAUUUUGUUGAAUCAAUAUCAUCAAUUAAAUGAUAACGUGAUUUAAAUUUAUGUAUGGAUAAAGAGAUUAUAUCAUUGUUGUGAUUCUACAUAUAUACAUGUUGUCAUGUCCAUUAAAUACUAAUUGAAGGUUAUUGCCUUUGAUUCCAAAUUGGAUAAUCAUUUGACAUGCAAAGCCUACAACUUAUAUGACAUUAAAUGGUUUUAAUCUACUUUUUCUUUUCAACACGAGAAAACAAUUUAUAGAUAAGUAUAUGAUAAAUAUACUUAUUCAAUAAAUACUUAAUUAAGUUGUUUAUGCAAACUAACUCUUAUCUCUAUUUUAUGUUAACUACUGCAGAAAAUGGUUUGGUCUCCUCGAUCACAAUGAUUUUCCUAUAGUAACCCAACUCCACAAUCCAUAUAUCCAGUUAAAAUAGAUUUUCUAUAUUUACGCAUUCAUAAAUCAAAUUUGUUGGAUGAAAAUCAAAGAGUUCAUAUACUUCAAAUAUAUAUUAGUAAUUAAGUUAAAAUUGCUGAGAUGAAAUAUAUGAACCGUUUAAUUUGAUUCAGCCAACAAUUUUUAUUAGCUGAAUCUGUGAAUGUAAGAAAUCCUAAUGGUAGAGUCCUGGUGAGUAAUUUCUAGCCAAUAUUAAAGGUGUCAUUACCUGGUUAAGAAAACUAAUCAAUGCAUGCAGUGGGUAUCAGGCUGAAUAAAAAGGAACGAUGUGGAAAGAGUUAUUCCCCGGAGUUAAUAAAUAAAGCGUGUAAUGAAAUAGUAGUAUAUACUAUAUAUUGUUUGAAGUAACUUCAUCAAAUCAAACAACUAAUUAAGAUUUCUUGGUCCAUAAGAAUCGGUAUAUGUAAAGGCCAAAAAUCAAAAGAUUGUGAUUAAGAAUGGGGUGGUUCAUAUACAUUAUAUUUUUCUUCAUUAUACCUUGUGAUUAUAACAUGUACAUGCUUAUAAGAGGACAAGGCAAUGCUUACACGGAAACAGAAAUAAAGGGUUAUGUUUAUGUAAUGUCCAAAAUGAAGAACAAACAGAAAGCACUAAUCAGCAUCCACAUAUGUCAAAAAGUAUUAAUUAAUAGACAUGAGCAAAAUUAGUUUAUUUCUGUAACCAAAGAAGAAAUUAAUUUUCUUUCUCUUUCAUAUUCAAUUCUUUUCCUCCAACAAUAAAAUAAACGUCCAACAGGGUGCAGAAUUGCAGAUUAACCUUGCAAUUCAAUGCGCAUGUCCUUUCCUAUCCAACUAAAAGGUCCCUCGUGGGCUCCACCGAGGCAAAGUCAAGAUAUAUUUGUGUAAGGAGGUAGUAACAUUGUAGACUUAAUUAAAAUAAAGUCUUAUAAUAUAAAAUUUUUAUUAUUAUUAAUUGAUUAUAUUAUUUUUUAUGAUACAAUUAUUGACUUUCAUAAUAAUUGUUUAAUAUAAAAAUAUUAUGUACAACAUGAUAAUUGAUAAAAUAGAAAAGGGUGAAUAUCUAAUUUUUUCUCCAAAAAUGUAUAGUAAUCAAUUGAUUCUUGAAAGAUGAAAAAUAUAAAUUUAAUUUUUUAAUAUAUAAAAAAUAUGUUAAAUUAGUUUUAUCGUUAAAUUUAUAAAAUUAUUUUAUCAUUAAGUUAUAAUGAUAAGAAUUAAUUCGAUGAUAAGUUGUAAAAUUUAAAGAUUAAUUUGUUAUUAAAUUAUUUGUAGGAUUAAUUUAUUAUAUUUUUUUAUAUUCAGAAAUUAAAUUUAUAUUUUUUUUUAUAAACUAAUUUGUUACUACAUCAUAUUUUCAAAGAUAAACAAUGAAAGAUUUUAAACUCGGGACUAAUGAGACAAUUUAUUUAUAAAAAAAAAUCUAAUAAUAUAAAAGAGUGAGAAAAAAGAAAUAAUAAGUUCAAACACAUAAAAAUAGGAGGUGUAAAUAUAAAUUUUUAAGAUUAAUAUUUCUAAUUUUAUUAAAAUAAAGACAUACAUUUUUUAUCCUCGUUUCUAAAAAAUAAUUAAGGAGAUUCGACCAUAAAAUUAGGAGAUGCAAAAUAGUAAUACAAAAUUUAAAAAUAAAUACAUGUAAUUUUAUUAAAAUAAGAAAAUACAUUUACUCAUCCUCAAAUACAUAUAGUGCUGCCUCCGGAGAUAAAUUUGAUAAUUUAUCCAUAAAAAAAAAAAAAAAAACUUUUACGUGUUGGCAGGAGGAGAGGUAUUAUAAGUUAUAACGUUUAAGUUAGGGAAAGGCUUAUGUACUAACACUGAUAUGCUAUGAAAUGGCCCCAGUUGGCUGUUGUUAAAACGACAGGAACAUGGAGCCAACAUGUUACCUUUUUGUUAUUUGCCUUAACCAAUGUUUUAUCAACACGUGUUAUUCUCCAAAUUCCAAAUUCACCACCCAAUCACUUGUAACAGGCAUUAUGCCUAAUUGGUCCGUCGCACCGAAAAAGUAGGAAGUCAUAUUAUAUUGAAAGGAGUUGUCUAAUCUAUUUCAAAUAAAAAUGAAGUUAAACAAGUUCACAUAACAGUGAAUUUUUUUUUAUGUAUUAUAAAAGGAUUGGUUGUGGAUAUUAAUUAUGCUAAUUAAAUGUAAUGAGAUUUUUAAUUUUAUUUGAAGUAAAUUAAACAAUAAGUAAAACUUACUCAUAUCUAUUUUAAGUAAAGUCUUAAAUUUAAAUUUUAAGGAAAGAAAAUCCAUUUAAGAUGAUCGUUGAUAAAAUUAAUAAAUAUAAAUAUUAUGUACUGACUCAAAAAAUAACUUAUAUUAAUAAUAGUAAUAACUAAUGAGUUCGGUUCGGUACAUACUUAACAUAUAAAACUUUUUUGCAAAAUUAAUCACUUAUUAAAAUUAAAAUUAAAUUUUUUUAAUAUUAUAACUGUCAUUAGUAUAUUUUUAAUAAAACUUUUUGUCUGUUAAUUUUUUAAAUUUUCCUAACACUAAUUAGGAAGACGAACUAUUUUCCCACUCAAUAGCAACCAGUUUCGGCUAGUGGCUAACUGCUAACGCCUAACACCACACCGGCUUGAUACGACCCUACUCCGGAAAAAAGUGUUGUCAUCAUGAUAUUAUAAGUAUUUGACCAAUUGAAAUUGUUGUUAUUUUUAAUUUUUGAUAAUGUAUGGAUUAUCACUGUUGUAUGUAAAUAUUAAAUACUAAACUAAAACUGAAUUAUUUUUUUUAUUAUUUAUAAGACUCAAAUUUAAAAUGAUAUUUUUUAUAAGACUUAAUUUAUAAAAAUUUUGUAUUAAUAAUUUUUAUAUUAAAAAUAUCUCUAAUUUAAAAAAUAAAGAUAAAGAUAACAUAUUGACAAAAAAUUAAAAAAAAACAUUAAUUACAAGAAUAAUUUAAAAAAGAAAAAUUUAUUAUUAUCAAUUAAAUUAAUUAUUUUUUUAAAUCUUAAUAAAUUGAGUAAUAGAUUCUUAUAUAUAAGAAUACGAAGUAUCUGCUAUUUAAUAAUAAUUUUUUUUUUUGUGAGUUACAUAAGCCUAUUAAACUAUUUAUAAGUCUUCUGACUUGGACAACAGUUGCAUGAAUAGGGGGAUUUGAUUGAGAGGAAAAAAAAGUUUAGUCUCUGUCUAUUUAUAUCCUUCAUGACCAUUUCUGGCCAUCUUUUUUUGUUGCUUUUGGGAAUAGUCAAAUAUUAUCUCAUUAUUAUUAAUUCUUUUCAAAGAAAUAACUUACCUCUUACUUGAUAUGCAUUUGGAGCAUCCUUAAAGACAAUGAAAUAUUGAAUUUAAAAGCUUUUUUUGGAUGUUAUUAUAUAUAUAAAAACUUCAGAAGAUUUUUUUCCUCGUAUGUAUAUAUAACAAUUCUUCCCUAUAUUUUUUUCUUAUACAAGCAUGAUCUUAACUUCUCGAUUUCUCUAAAUAUCUAAUAUAAAAAGAAUCAAAUUAUUCCUAGAGUAACUCUAAGAAAAUUACUCCUUAUCAUCAUCAUUAUUUAUUUUUUAAAAUUUAAUAAUUAAAAUUAAUUACUCAUUAUAAUAAUAAGAUUUUAAAAAUAAUGAUAAAAAUAAAAAAUAACUCUCUUAAAAUUACUUUUGAAUAACUUGAUCCCCUCAUCUAAUUUAGGUACAUAAAAGGGUUUAGGUUAAACAUGAAAUUGGUGUAUCAAACUAGAAUUGUAUUUUAGAAAUAUUAUCUUAAUUCAGUUAAAGUUGGGAUUGUUUCAUAAACAUAUUUUUGAGUUAAACUUCUAUUCUAUCUUAAGUACUAUACUUAUUUUCGUGCUCUAACAAAAGAAUCUUAUAGCAUAUUAGUUGUCAACGAAGACUAUUAUUGCACUUAGCUGAAAAGACAAAAUCAUGAAUAACAGGGUAGCUUUUAUUAGCUCUUUCGUAGUGCAAUAAAGAAUAGUUUCAACUCUUACGAUGUGCCUCAACCACCACGAUUACUUCAUUAUCAGUAUUUGUUUUAUUUAAUAUUUAAAGGUGAAUCCUCAUUUUUAAAGAAAUAAUAAUACUUUUAAAAUUGUAACUAUAGUUUCUUCUUACCUUAUUAAAUUAAAAUACAAUAGUAAGAAUGAAGAAUCUCUGCUUAAAUUUUCACCUUAAUUAAUUUAUCGCAAUCUCUAUGCUUUGUAUUUCAUUGAUAAGAAUUAAGGAGUUUAUUAGUUAUUACUUUUUUACAAAUUUAUUAGUAUUACUUUUAAGGGUUUUUCUGUUGCCCAUGUAGAGACACAUAUUAAUAACAUUUAUCAUAUUAAUUAGAUAAAAAUCUUUUGGUGUACAAAAAAUAUUUUCACUUUCAUGUAUCAUAAGUAUAAAAUGAUGACAAUUAUUUUUCUCCAACUUUUUUUUAUUUGAGUCUUUGAUAAAGAUGAUAAUGGGAUGAGAUAGAUACAGGUAAUAGUUCUUUCAUACUCAUCCAUACUUAACAAGUAUAUGUAAAGUGAGUACUCGCGAUUUUAUAUAUAUAUUCACGGACACUAACAAAUAUUUGUAGAUACUUGUUAAAAUAAAAUAAAAAUGUUAUGUAAAAAUAAAUAAAUAUUCUUGAGACAUAUAUUUAUAUCAAAAAUAAUUUUAUAACAUAUAUUUAUAUUAAAAACAAAUUAAAAUGUUUUAUUUUAAAUAUACUUAAGAAUAUUUAAAUAGUUCUAAAGCGGGACAUGCUAUUCCAAAUUAAUGACUACAAAACAUAUAUAUCCUAAUUUAACGAGGGUGAGAAAGAAAUAAGUCUCUUAUAUCAUUAGAAUAAUUUUAUAUUAUAUGUUCUUUCAAUAAUAUAAAUGCAAAAUAUUUGAAUAAAUUUCUGGUUGCCUGAGAAAAUUUUUCAUUAAAAACAUUAAAAAUUAAAAAAUUAUGCAACAAUAAGACUUGAUCUAUUUUUUGUUUUAUCAAAAAUGUUUUUUAAUAAAAUUUAAAAAUACUAGUUAAUAAUUAAUGUAAAGUUGCUAUUCUAAGAGUUUUAUCAUCUUCGACGUAAACGCUUUUAACCUUUUUUUUUCCUAUACCUUUAACCUUUUCAAUGAAACGAAAGGCGAAAGCAAAGGUGAAAUGAGAUUUCCGUUGGUAGAAAUCUGUAGUAAAAAAAUAGUAGUAUUUCAUUAAGGAAAAAAAAAAGACCAAUUGCUCAAAAGGAAAAUGGCCCAUUACAAGAGGCAACGGAAAGGCUUAGUAGCUGCCUACUGGGAUUUUUGCCCCUUAAAUACAUUUUUUUUUUUUUAUGGUUGUGUAUGGGAUGAAGAUUCAAAAUUUUAAGAAAUUUAAGAUACAUAAAAAUUUAAUUAUAUUAAUUAAUUUUUUUACAAUAUUUUGUUUAGAGAAAAUGUUUAUUUUUUUGUUUGAAUUUUUUAUUUUAAAAACUACUUUAAUUUCAUAAUUUGUAAAGUUUUCUUUAUGAAUGUUUACUUUUAAAAAUGCUUUAAUAUAAAAUCUAUUUUUGACUGCAAUAAAUGUUUAUUUUAGUAAUUGUUAGUGAUUUACCAUAAAUGUUAGUCAAAACUUAAAAAAUGAAAAGAAAGUAAUUAGUAAAAUAGAAAAAUGUAUUAAAUGGAAUGAUUAAUUAUGCAUUUUUUAGAUAGCGAAUAAAUGCAAAAUAUAUACUUUUUUUUAAAGGUACAAAAUCAUAUACUAAGUACUUAGGAUUUUUAUUUUAACAUAAUUUUACGACUGUGAAAAUGCUGUUUGAUAAAAAAAAGACUGAAAAGAGUAAACAGUGAUAAUUUUUUAUUACUAAUAAAUAUGUAAAUAUAUAUUUUAUUGCUAAAAAAUAUAUUUAUUUAUAAAUAUGAAUUAAGAUUUAAGAGAGGUGUAAGAAAAGAAAAGUGGUGUAGAAAAAAGAGCCAAAGCAAUGUGUAGAAAAGAGUGAGGGAGGGGAGAGAUGUAAUUGAGAAAAAAAAGAAGAAAAAAAGAGAUAUAUGAAAGAUGAGAAAGGGAGAAUAGAGGAAAGAGAGAUGAGAGUAGAUAUUCAUACUAAGACAGAAAAUAAAGAACUUAAUUUGUUUCCGUUUUAAAAGAUAUUUAAAUUAUCUUUAUUUCACUUUAAAAAAAUCUUACAAGAUAUCCACCAUUUUGAAAAAUUGUCUAAUUUUAAUAUUCAAACAAGUCAUUUUACUACAUACUAGUCUCAAAUUCCGUUGAAAAAAUAAACUUUCAUCAAACUACACUACCAGUUAGUCAAACAGCAAAAAAAAAAAAAGUCCACUUUCCAUUUUCUAAAUAGCUAGCCUUAAUUUUUUUUUUAUAUAAAAAAGAAAGAAUUAAUCAAAAAAAAAAGAAAAAAAAAACAAAUAUGACACUCCACAUGCAUAAAAUUAGUUUUUUCCUGUACAGGAGAUCCAGCUCGGAGGCCACGCUACGAAUCAGAGGCAUAUUAAGUUUCAUCUGGACCACUCCAACAUGCGGGCCCGACUCCGAACCUUCCCCUUAAGAAAAAUUAAAAAAUGAUUUUGUGGUUAAAUUUAUGAAAUUAUUUUAUUAUUAAAUUAUAAUAUUCAAUGAUUAGUUUUACAAUAAAUUAAUAUCUAAUUUAAUUAUCUAUUAAAUCAAUUUGUCAUAUUUUUGAUCAUCUAAAUUUUCCAUAUUCCAGAGCAAUGAAUCACUUCCUCACGUUUUCUUUAAAUCUGAAAAUAAAACACCGGUCACCCGCGCGACACACCGGUCUCUCCUUGCACGUGAACGUACGCUACCACUUCCCCUCUGAAAAAAAACACCUUCGAUUCUCUCUCAUUUCUCUUUCUCGCAACAGAGGCUUUGCUAUAAUACGUGACACCCACCACCCACCACCCACCACCCUCCCCUCACGCCACUCACACCACUCUCUCUUGUUUUAGUUUUUAGUAUUUACUUUUUAUUUCCUCAGCACAGCAACACCUCAGUCCCAUGUUGUUUCAUGUUUGUUCCCCCAUGGCGCCAAUUCCCUAACCAACCACGACAUCAAUACCACCACCAAGCACGUUCAGAGCUUUUGGGUUCGAGUCCGAUAUAUGCAGCUGUCUUAAAUACUUGGACUAGAAUUAAACUAGAUUACCUCGGACGACUUGAACCACUAAAAUGAAGUCCGCGCGAGUCAAAGAAGCGAUUCUGUUAGUGUUUAUGUUUACUAUCUUAACCAUUGCAGGUUCGGAUCUAGCUUCGGACAGAGCCGGGUUAUUGUUACUCCGAAGCGCGGUGGGGGGACGCACUUUGUUAUGGAACGCCACCCAAACAAGCCCUUGUUCGUGGACCGGCGUGGUCUGCGCCAGCGGGAGAGUAAUCAUGCUGCGUCUUCCCGCGAUGGGUCUCUCCGGUUCGCUUCCCUCCGGUUUGGGCAACCUCACCGAACUGCAGACGCUCUCUCUCCGGUUCAACGCGCUAACCGGACAAAUCCCCGAUGAUUUCGCUAACCUGAAAGGCUCUCCGUAACCUCUAUCUACAGGGAAACUUCUUCUCCGGCCAAGUCUCCGAUUCGGUGUUCGCGUUGCAGAAUCUCGUGAGGUUGAAUUUAGGUAACAACAAUUUCAGCGGCGAGAUUUCGCCAAAGUUCAAUAGCCUCACUCGUUUGGCCACUCUUAUCUCGAACGCAACAAUUUCACUGGUUCGAUCCCUGACCUCGAUGCUCCGCCGCUCGAUCAGUUUAAUGUGUCGUUUAAUUCGCUAACCGGAUCCAUUCCGAACCGGUUUUCGCGUCUGGACCGAACCGCUUUUCUCGGAAACUCGCUGCUCUGCGGGAAGCCUUUGCAGCUUUGCCCCGGAACUGAGGAGAAGAAGGGUAAACUAUCCGGUGGCGCCAUUGCGGGCAUUGUGAUUGGUUCCGUGGUUGGUGUGUUGUUGAUUCUGUUGCUUUUGUUCUUUUUGUGUAGAAAAAAUAAUAGGAAAAAUGAGAAUGAAACUUUGCCACCUGAGAAGCGUGUUGUGGAAGGUGAAGUGGUGUCUCGUGAGAGUGGCGGGAAUUCAGGUUCGGCAGUGGCGGGUUCGGUGGAGAAGAGUGAGAUUCGGAGUAGUAGUGGUGGUGGUGCCGGAGAUAAUAAGAGUUUGGUGUUUUUUGGGAAUGUGAGUAGAGUGUUUAGUUUGGAUGAGCUGUUGAGGGCUUCAGCUGAAGUUUUAGGGAAAGGCACGUUUGGGACGACUUAUAAGGCGACGAUGGAGAUGGGGGCGAGUGUGGCAGUGAAGAGGUUGAAGGAUGUUACUGCAACAGAGAAGGAAUUCAGGGAGAAGAUUGAGCAAGUGGGGAAGAUGGUUCAUCACAACUUGGUCUCACUAAGGGGCUAUUACUUUAGCAGGGAUGAGAAGCUGGUUGUGUAUGACUACAUGCCUAUGGGAAGCUUAUCUGCUCUCUUACAUGGUAAUUGGUACCCCCAUCUUUCAUGCUUGGUUGUUGUUGUUUUUGGACAAUAGUGUCUUCUCUUUUUUCUCUGUCUUUGUGCUAAUUGCUUUCGUUUCUAAUUCAGGUGAAUGAAUGAUUGUGGUUGUUCUUGUGUCUACUCCAUGUUAUCUCUUUGGGUGACUACUUGUUGUUUUUAUGUUUCUCUAUGCUUUUGUUGUUGUUUCUUGUUCAGUUUUGUAAUGUACUGUCAUGGCCUAGUUUUCAGUUCUGCUAACUGUCUUGUCUAGAGUGUGCCUUCAUUUUAUCACAUUUUCUGCUUGUCGGAUUUUGGUUUACUUUUUCUGAGUUAAAAGGGUUUGGUUUAGUGACAAAAUUGAUGUUUGAUAUUCUAGUUUGGAUAUAUAAUGGACGCCAAUGCAUACUUGCACUAGAUUAUGUCCAAGGGAGAGAGAAUCUUGUAUCAAGAGUGAAGUCUGGUGUCUAAAAAAUAAUCUGAGAAAGCUGAAGUUUUUUGCCUCUUAAUUAGGUCUUCAGCUGAUCCUCAAUGUUCUAAUGGAAAAUUUGUCGUCAGUAAAUGUUUUCUUUCAGGAUUGUACUUUCUAACACUUAAAAAGUUAUUUUGUAGUAAUGUUGACUAUGUAAGGCUCCAGGAUUUAGUGAUUGGUUGUUAAAUUCUUCUUCACUUGUGAAAUGUAGUCUGAGGCUCAAAGGCUCUACUUCUGAUGAAAUGAAAAAUGUAGGCUGCAUUUGGUAAUUUGUAGUUGAAUGAAACUGCAAUGAAUUUGAAUUGGGAUGCAAUUUUUUUUUAAUUUGGAUGCUAUGAAGUCAAGCACCAUGAUCUGACAUUUUAGUCUUAUAUAUGUUUCUGUUUUUGUUGUUAUAGCAAAUGGUGGAGUAGGGAGGACUCCACUGAAUUGGGAAACAAGGUCUGCCAUUGCCCUUGGUGCUGCUCGUGGGAUUGCAUACAUUCAUUCGCAUGGCCCAACAUCCUCCCAUGGAAACAUCAAGUCAUCGAAUAUCCUUCUCACCAAAACUUUUGAAGCUCGUGUCUCUGACUUUGGCCUUGCUUACCUUGCUCUCCCAACCUCUACACCAAACCGUGUGUCUGGUUACCGUGCGCCAGAGGUCACUGAUGCACGCAAGAUAUCCCAAAAGGCCGAUGUCUAUAGCUUUGGUAUCAUGCUUUUGGAGCUGCUUACAGGGAAGGCUCCUACUCAUUCUUCACUAACUGAGGAAGGGGUGGACCUCCCAAGAUGGGUCCAAUCUGUGGUUCAAGAUGAGUGGAACACUGAGGUAUUUGACAUGGAGCUUCUAAGGUACCAAAAUGUUGAGGAGGAAAUGGUCAAGCUUUUGCAGCUUGCCCUUGAAUGUACCGCUCAAUAUCCUGACAAGAGACCUUCAAUGGAUGUGGUGGCAAGCAAGAUUGAGGAAAUUUGUCAUCCUAGUUUAGAGAAAGAGGAAGGGAAGAACCAUGAUUUUAAAGAUGCUGAUAAUGGAUUUUCCCAACAGUACUAUUCUGUUGACUCGGGUGUGUCACAAGCUUGAAUACAGAAUUGAAGAAAGACCCCUUAUAUCAUCAUUAGCCACACCCAAGCUUGAAUAUAGAAUUGAAGAAAUACCUCAUUAUUUCAUCGUUGGCCUGUUUUUGGUAUGCAUAUUACACAAGUGUUGUUUGUUUGUUUGUUUAUUCAUUUGAGGAAUUAUAGAAAACCAGCUGUGUAUGUCCUUUGUCUUACACUCUUACUACCUUUUUUUCUCCUUAGAUUUUGUUAUUCUGAAUCUUUGUUGGGGGUUUCUAUUCCCCACUAUAUUUACUACUUCAGUUUUAGAGGAUUAUUAUGCGUGAAUUUGUGAAUAAUUUGUUUGAAUAUAUCUACAUUGUUUCUCCCUCCUAUUUUUAGUCGGAUUGCGUUGUGUCUAGCAGUGAGGUAAAGUCAUAUAUUCUGGCCUAUAGUUUUUCAAUAACUGUGUGCCUAAGGUGGUGAGGGAUCGAGGUAGCUCUGCAUAAUAAUGUCAAAACACAUUUCUUCCAAUUUGGAGGUUUCAUUGACGCUAAUGCUAAGAAGAAAAGAAUCAGUUUCUGUGAUGAUCCAAAGUUGUUUUUCUUCAAACAAUCUUAACUACUCACCCAUCACAUUAAGAGGUAUAAUUAAAAAUACGAAUCAGCUUUUUUGAAGUGACAGCUAAGGUUCAAACUCGUUAAGAUAAAACUAAAGAGUAUAUCUCUCUAGGUUAUUAUUAGGCAGUCUAUGUUGACAAAACAAAAGUUCAUCGUGAAAUUAUUUUUUAUUCAACUAAUUUUUUGUUUGAAAUACAAAAUACAAGUAAAUUCAAGAAAAGCAGAGCAUGUAAAUAUGUAAGGAUAUAACGAGGACAAUGAAAUUUAAAUGUAGGAUCUCAUAAUUAAAUAACUUAAUGACAUUUGAAAAGGCAUGAAUCACCAUAUACCAAGUUAAAUUUCAAAUCUCAAUUAAAAAUGAUAUAUAUUAUUGCAUUAACAAAUUUAAUUGGUACUGAUAGUGGAGUCCAAUAGAAAGACCUAAUCUCAUAUAACACGAUGAAUUAAAAUUUAAAAUUUGAUUGAAAGAGAUAUUCACAUUUAAUGUUUAAUAGUGUCUCAAAUAAAAUUGUUUCAAAAAGAAAAUGUUUAUGAAAAAAAUUAUUAGGUUAAAAAUAUUUUAAAAUAUAUUUUUAAAGAAGUAUUACUUGCUUUCUUUUAAAAUAUUUUUGAAAGAUUUUGUAUAAUAAUUGGAAAGUUGUUAAAUGUGUUUUAAUUCCUAAAUAUACUAUUAUAUACACCAUCCUGUUUUGGCUGUGUUCUAUUCUUGGGCAACAUCUUUGUAUCUUCAAAUUCUAAGAUAAAUCUUGGCCAAAAGAAAAGAAAAGAAAAAAACAAUUAUAAUACAUCAACACCCGACCUCAGACCAUGAUAGAGAUAGAAUUUUCUGCUCAGUGCUUUCCUUUUAAGGCAUUUGUUCUUGUUCUUGGGAAGUUGACAUAUUCUUUGUUGCACACGUUUUUGAGUGACAAAGAGCAUUUAUGCUUUUAAAUUUUUACCACUGCCAAAAAAAAAAGUGCAUUUAAUUGCAUACGAAAAUGUUUUAUUAUGCUUCUUUUGCUUUUUGAUUCAACUUCAGUUUGUUGAAACUUAGUUGUAAAGAUUCUAAAGAAUUAUGCUUUCCAACUUAUAAUCUAAAAUUAUGCCAUCCGAGAAGAAAAAGAGAAAAAGACAGAUAAAAGUGAAAUCUGGCUUCGCUUCUGAUGCAAUUUUGAUUUGUUGAAACUGAGUUGUUUCAGUUAGUUUGGAAAGUGAUUAUCUGAGUUUAGUGCUAUCAAAUACUUCACCACAUGCUUCUACACAUGUUAUUUUAGUAGAGCAUGACAUAAGAAUUAAGGCUGUAGUGGAGGAGGUUGGGAAUAUAAUGUCAGGAAUUCGAAUUUCAAUACGCAAAAGAAAAAUAAAUUAGGUUAGAUAAAGAUGAAAAAAGUGGGUCAAAAAUUCAUAUGGUAUUUAUCCAAGUAUGCAUGGUUAUAUGUAGCAUUUGAAUUUUUUUUUUAAUCUUAUUUUUCUAUUUAAUAACAUUCACCGUCAGAAGACUAGGUUCCAUCUACAAAAUAUUCAAUUGAAAAUUAAAUUUUUGCUGGAUAAGCUUGAAAUUAUUUUAGGCACGUUGAGUCUCAAUUUCAAAGGGACCGUAAGGUCUGAAGUAGUUAACUGUCAGUCUUGGAAGCAAAUGUCUUACUCCAUGAACUGGACCCUUAAUCCACUACGGCCGAAUAAAUACUUAUAUAAGAAAAAUUAAGAAAAAUAUAAUUCUUAUCAAUAAACUAAAAUUAAUUUAUGUAUAACAGUAUAAGUCGACUUAUACAAGUUAUCUCAAUUUACUUUCUCCACAAGUUUAUUUAGUCAAACCAACUUAUAAAUUAUUAAAUUAACUUGUUAAACACACUAUAUUAUACACUAGACAGAAAACCUAGGUGAUGCACGGAAAUUGUGAAGGGACUAAUUUUUUGUCUGUAAAAAAAAUAUUGAUAAUUUUGUCAAUUUCUUAUAUCUUUUAAAAAAAAUACUAUAAAAAGAAAAGAAAACAAAGAAAUGAGCAUUUCCUGUUUCAUAUUAUGAGCCAAUGGUUAUCUACAAAUGUAGACAAAUAUUUUCUUUUAAUUUUAAUUCAAAUGCUCCAUUCUUUCAAAGAAAAAAAAAAGUUAUAUACCAACAAUGUAAAUUUUUUUACAUAAAUCAUUCAAUUUAUAAUAAUAAUAAUAAUAAUAAUAAUAAUAAUAAUAAUAAUAAUAAGUUUGUUAAAUUUUAAAAUGAUCAUCUUAAAAUAAUUCAAAACAAUAAUUUAUGACUAAAUGAUAUUAUAAAAUAAUUUUAUACACGUCUUUGUACCCUUAGUACAUAAACAUUAAAUUUUUUUUCAAAAAUAAUCUUUUCACGAAGACAUGAUUUCACUAAAAAAAUAUGUAAUAAAAAUAUAUUUCUAUUGUGUAAGAAAUGCAAACCUGUCAUUCCACUAUAUAGUUUUACAAAAUAUCAGAAAUUGAGUUUAAUUGGCUUGAUCUUAAAUGAAACUAGCAUAUAAGUUGAUAAAAUGAUAGUUCGUACUAACUUGAAUGAUAUCCGGUAUAGUACUUUCUAUUUAAGAAUGAUUUUUUUCUAAAACGUGGUCUCAACAGUUUAGCAUAAAAUAUUAUUCACACUCCCAAAGUUAUUCAACACACCUCCCUUUCCUUUUUUAUAUUUGUUAUUUUCUAAAAUGCCCUUUUAUUCAUACCUCUCCCUAAUUAUCCAAGAUGUUGGGAUGGAGGUAUCCUGAUAUAGAUCAGGACUAUGUGACUGAAUUUGGCUAAAAUAUAUGGCACAAAACUCUGCCGAGGAUGGCUUUAUAACUAAUUCUGAUCAUUACAAUACAGACUACAUUCGGGAAAUCUAUUCUAAUACUAAUGAUUGCAAGAAGAGCCAUAGUUUUUUUAUUAGUUUGUUGGCUGCUGCACUGUAUACAAUGCGUUUUUAGAUAAUGGAGGGGUAGGUUUAUUUAAAGCAUGGCUUGGAGGUAUUUUGAAGUAGACAAGGUGGGUAUAAAUAUGGAAUCUGGUUGCUCCGGUUGGCUGGAAUUCGAGAUAAUAAUUUAAAUGUCUUGAUGAAGUUGCUCCGGUUCAUCUUUGCCUUCGUCAUUAGCAACGAGUAGGGGCAGAGAGUUUGGAUAAUUAGAAAAAGUAUAAAUAAAAAGGCAUUUUGGAUAAUAACAAAUAUAAAAAAGGAAAGAAAUAUAAGGUUAGUCUAAUGGUUGAAGAAUGAUGAAGGAAGAAGAGGAAAAGGUUGUGAGUUCAUUUCUUCCAACUAACAUUUCUAAUAAAACUAAUAAAUUAGCAUUUGCUGAGAAAAAAAAGGGAGGUAUGUUAAAUAAUUUAUUGGUAUGAAUAACAUUAGUCUGCGACAUAAUGCAACUGGAUUUUCCAGCCCGAACACAUUUAUUUGGGCCUGGUAAUGAGUCAACAGCGUUUCAUUUCUUGUUUAGGCUAAGGGAGUUACUAUUUGCACUCCCACAUGUGGCUAAUACACUCUCCUUUUGAAAAUUUCCCCCCAAAAUAUCCUGUGCUUUAGAAAUUAAAAUACCACGGUGCUCCUUAUGCCGAUUGCCUACAUGGUUGCUUCUCCUACUACUAUCUUCGACCUCAAUUCCUCUCCAUCACCACUAUCCUCGUUGUCAUACCAAGGACUUCAUCUCUAGUUUUAUAAAGCACCAGUGCAACUUCAUCCCUAAAUCCAAGUACCUAUCAAAAUCUGAUAAAAAUCAUUUUUGUUUUCUUCUGAAAUCUUCUUGUUUCUCCUUAAUCUCCACCAUUGCUCAACACCCUCAUUAACCCAACAAAGAGGAUCAUAGAUCCAACUUAAACCUACAUCAUUAGAUCCAAUAACAAAGAACCCACUCUUGCUACAGUGACGAACAUGUGCUCAAGCCUCAAGGUGGACCUUUCAACAUCAAGAUAAGGGAUACCAUCAAAAGGGCCAAGUAGAGGGGAGUGCAUUAGUUUAUGAAAUAUAGGGUAUUUUGGGAAAAUAAAUUACAAAAGAGAGUGCAUUAGAAAUAAAGGGCAGUGUAAAUAGCAACUCCCUAGGCUAAUUGGUUGGGUUGAGCUUGGAGUCUGGCAUUAGAACCGGGACAAGUUAAGGUGGGAGAAAAAAGAAAAAUAAGCUUAGUCACUUAGUUGGUAAAUGUAAAUCAAUUGUUGAUUCUAAACCUAUUUUAAUGUUUUAUCAUUUAAUAAUCAAUAUCAAUUUGUUUCUAAAGCUAUUUACGCAUAUAAUAUUGUAUAUAAAAACGAAUUAAGGGAGAAGAUAUCACAUAUUUGUCUUCGUAAACAUGAUACGUAUUAAAGAUAGGAACAAUACAAUGACAUGAAAUUGGUGAGCUCAUAGAGAAAAUUUUAGAAAAGGAACUGCAUUUACACUUGACAACGACAAUUGUGGUGUGGCAAUUCCAUGAAGAAAAAAUGUUAGAGACUUGAGGGAUAAUACUAUGGUUCGGAGAAUCUCUGCUUUUGAGACAAUGGGGUCGACUCAACAAUUAAUUUGCACUACAAUAUAAUCCCAUCGUGUUAUUUUCCAAGUCAAGCUUCACUAUAAUAUAAAGUUUUAGCUAGUAAAUACAAUAAAACAAGAUGAUAGGAUGACCUUGUUAUAUCCUCUUGAAGGGAUGGAGAAUAUGAAAUGGGAAAAUAUUUCUUAAUCUUUUCAUGUUGGUUUGUAAGUCAACCUGUACUACAAAAUAUAAAUCUUUAAGUGGUAAAUAGAAUAAAAUGAGCAAUUGAUAGUACAUUUUUUUUCCUGCCACUAUGCAGGAAGUUAUGUAAGGAUGCUCUGUUUUUUUUUUUUUUUUUUUUUUGAAUAAAAAAGGUUAGGAGAUACAUACAAGUAUUGGCAGGGAGGAGUCCUAGACGUAGGCAGCACAAAUAAUCUGUAGCAGCAUGUGCUAUUCCAACUUUAAUGACACAUUUGAUCGGAUAUAGAUACGGAUAUAAAUAUUAUCUUACUUAAAUAAGGAUGAAGAUAAAAAUGAAUAUUAAAACCUUAAUAUAUAAUUUAUUUGAAAAUAUAUAAAUAAAUUUAAAUUAUAAAAAAAUGUAAUCCCAUAUACGCAUGGGCUAUUUCACUCCAUUCUUUAUUUUACGUUUUCUUGGGAAAAUUAAUUGCAAAUAAAUUUCAAUCCAUUUAAUCGAUCAACUCGCUAAAACCCCGUAUUUUUUUAUUUUUUUUUAAGUCAAAUUUUGCUUUGAUUACCCUAGUAAAGAUAUAUCAUGCAUCUGAACUCAAUAAAACUCGACAGAUAUGAGAAUAAAUAUUAAAAUUAUAAAUUCACAUCUUUUAUUUAUAUUUAUAUUGUAGCCGUUCUGUCUUUUAAAAGAAUGAAAACGAGAAGCAUCAUACUCAUCGGCGAUCCUCGGAGUUGCCAUCCCUAUUUGGAUGUGCUUGAAUUGCAUAUUUUCUGUGGACCGCAUCUCCUGCUUAAUCUAAUGCUCUUAUGUUUUAAUAGAUGUCGUUUUGCCUUUCCAAAUAAAUAAAAUGAGUAUGUUUGAUUAUUAUAUAUUUAGAAAAUUAUUUUAUAAAUUAAAACUGAAAAACUGAUUUUCAGAGUGUAGAAGUAGGGGGAGAUGAUAUAAAAAAUGUAUAAAAAAAAGAACAUGAGUAAUAGGAAACUGAAAUAAUUUAAAGAUAUUCUAUUUUUUGUUUGUUUUAAAACUCUAAACGAACGUAUUCAUUUUGAUUUUUUUUUUAAAUCAGAAAAUAGUUUUAAAAAUCAUGAAACAAAGAGGGCCUAAGUAAUAGAAUUAUCUGAUCAUAUUUUUUUGUUAAAAUUAUCUUAUCAUAUUUUAGUAAGAGACAGAGAAAACCAAAGUGAAAGUAAAUAGCAAAAUAUAUUCUCAAUUCUAUCAUAAUAUAAUAUAAAAUUUUAACUGAUAAAUAAAAUAAGAUGAAAACAGUUAUGUUACCAUAUCCUCUUAAUUCAAGAAAUUAUCCUGUAGAUUAAGAUUAAACACAAAAAGUUGUGUUUAUCUUAUGUCCAGCAAAAAAAACACCGUGUUUAUCUUAUCGGUUUAAUUAAGGUGUUUUUAUCAUUUGUAUCUUUGUCCUUAUAGAAGAAGUGAUUUUUUUAAUUUUUAUAGUUUAUAUUAAUUAUCUUUUAGUUUCUGUAGUUUGAAAAUAAUUUUAGUUUUUAUAAUUUGUAUUUUAAUUUUUUUUAGUCUUUAUAAUUUAUAUUUUAAUUCACUUUUAAUCCUUAACAUCAAAAUAUGAGUAAUAUUAUCAAUUCCAAUUAAUUAGAAAAAUAUUAGUAACUAAUUCAUAAUUAAUUUAUCGCAAGAUAAUAUGUAAUAAAAAAAUAAUUGAUAAUUUAUAAAUAAAAAAAUAGUUGAUAAUUUAUAAUUAAUUUGUAGCUAAUUAUUUUUAUAUAAUUUUUUGUAAUAAAAACUAAAAGAUAAUUAAAAUAUAAAUUAUAUAAACUAAAAAAAUCAUUUUUAAAUUAUAGGUACUAAAAAAUAGUUAAAAUAUAAAUUAUAAGGAUUAAAAAGACCACUUUUAAAUUAUAAGGACUAAAAGAAAAUUAAAAUAUAAAUUAUAAAUAAAAAAAACCACACUCAAAUUAUAAAAACUAAAAAUACAAAUAAUGAAAUGAUAAGAAACAAAUAAUUAAUUUAACUUGCUAAAAAUAAAAAUGGGGCGUAACGUAAGAGUGAAAUGAGAUAGAGCAGUAUGUAGAGUACAAGUGGAGAGGUUGAAACAGCGGUUAUAUAAGAAAAACAAGGUACUAGAAAAGACAGAGACAUAUAUAUUAUGUCGUAUUGCCAUCCUAGAUUCCAAUCCUUCCUUCCUUCACAUUCUAUUCUAUUUACCCUUUGUUGGUCCGCGAAGUUUCUUGUUUCCUCCAACAUAUAAUACCUCAUCUUUCUCUUUCAAUUUCUCUCUUCGCUUUUUUUUGAUUCACACACAAUGGGUCUCUGGGAUUCCUUCCUCAAUUGGCUCCGCAGGUAAACCUCUUAUCCACAAUACUACUAUUUGUUCAUUAUAUAUAUAUAUAUAUAUAUAUAUAUAUAUAUAUAUAUAUAUAUAUAUAUAUAUAUAUAUAUUUGUACUUAUUUGGGAUUUAUUAUCUGUGAAAUUUCAUCCUAAAUUUUGGGACAUGCUUUAUUGAUUGAGAUUCAGAAAAGCCUUAAAAGUUGAGCUUAGGUUAAUUGGUUUUAAGGGUUCCUUUUAAGUCAAGCCCUUUAAUGAUUGUGAGUUUCUGUUUGUUGGUUGUGUCAGCUUGUUUUUUAAACAGGAGAUGGAACUUUCACUUGUUGGCCUUCAGAAUGCUGGCAAGACUUCUCUUGUCAAUGCAAUUGCUGUGAGUUGCUGCUGCUGCUGCGUUGCAAUUUUUUACUCAAUUUAGAAACCCUGAAGUUCAGUUCUAGUAUAACUGUUAUUGACAUUGGUAUUUGGUUUUGUUUACCUGCAGACUGGGGGCUACAGUGAGGACAUGAUUCCAACUGUGUGUAUCUAUCUUUGCUUUUUGAUUGCAUCUUGAAUGGUUACAUGUUUGAAGAUUGUGAGCAUGUUUGCCUUUGUAAUUGAAAUAUAAUUCUUGGUGUUAAACCCAGGUUGGUUUCAACAUGAGAAAAGUGACUAAGGGAAAUGUCACAAUAAAGCUUUGGGACCUUGGGGGACAGAGGAGGUUCCGAUCAAUGUGGGAGCGAUACUGUCGGGGUGUCUCUGCUAUCGUGUAUUGUCUCUCUUACUGCUCUCUCUUUCAGCUAUAUAUUCGUGAGUGCAAACAUAUGUAUAUACAUUCACACACACACAUGACACAUGCAUAUCUUUCAUUGUGUUUUUUAAGUUUGGCUUUGAAUCAAAAGUUGCCAAUAAUCUUAGACUAAUAGGAUAUUUCAGUAUAGUGUUUUAAGGAUAAUGAUUUUUACCCCUCAAAAGUUCUCUCAAGAAGCUGGCACAAAAUUGAUUAUUUCUCCAAAAUAAGUUUGAGCCAAACAAAUACUGACUUGUAAUUUUUAGGUUUUAUAUGCUCUUUUUUUUUCUUUUUAACUUUUUAGUUUUUAGACUUCAAACAGGAAAUUGUCUGCAUUGUACAAUUUCAUUGGAGGUUUUUGUAAAUAGAGUUCCAUUUCAUGCCAUUUUACUUAAGAUACCUCAUACUGUUAGAGGGUUUUUUCUGGUUCCUUGGAGAAGUCUAGAAUAAUCAACCAUGUAAAUGAGGGUUUUAUCCUUACCCUAAGUGUGCAUUUGUUUGAAGAAGUAGUAAGUUAUUUUUAGGAAAGUGAACUUGGGAAUAUAAUAUUUUCAUGUUAUAAAUUUUUAAAAAAUUGAGCAUUAUUAAUUCCCUGGCAAGUGACACAUUCCAAGUCCUGUCUUUUUUUUAUUCCUGUGAUGAGGGAUGGCCGGAUGGCUAUGUUGCUUUCCCAUUCCUAAGCUAUCUUGUCAUCCAACCUCUGUGGCACUACCACUCCCCACUUCUACCACAGUCUUUAUCCCAUCAUUUGAAUUUUGCAAAACAUUUCCAAAAAUGUUACAAUGCUAGCCAAACAUUCAUAAGCAUAUUCUUUCAAAACACAAAGGCCUCCUAAGAUCUUUUUAGGAAUUAGGAGAAAAGGAAAAUGUUUGUGAAGCCUACUCUUAUAAUGAUUACCUAUUGCAAUGACUAACCAUCCUUUAAGUUUAUUUAAGCUAUCAAGAAAAUACUUGGGAACAGUUUUUAUUUACAUCAAUAAUAUGUACCCUCAUGCAAAUAGACUUUGGGAUUUAAGUGAGGACAAAUUUUAUUUCACCACUAACAUAUGCUGAAGCAUAAUUUGAUAUAAGAUGGAAGUAUUAAGAAUUGAACACCUGACUUACUCAUGGAAGAGGCUCAUAUGCCAUAUGAUGGUUCAAUCAUCCUUGAAGACACAUGGAUAUUGUCAUUUAUAUUGCAUAGAUCUCUAACAACAUAUAAUACAGGAUACUCACCCCAAAAGCAGUUUUUAUACUGUUGUCUUUUCCUGUUUAUGUUUCAAACACAAAGAAUGGAAAACGUAAUGCUUGGUUGUAUCAAAAUCUAUUGUUUCUGAUGAUCUAAUGGAAUGUUGGUCAUGCAUGCUUCAUCUUGUGGAGUGUUAUUAUAUAUAGCUCUUUCAAAUUAUUGGAAAUGUCCAUUCUCCUUGUUUUUACACUUUUGUUCUUUUCCUUGAUGGAUGCUAAGACAGAUAUGUUGUAGAUGCCGCUGAUAGAGACAGUGUUCCAAUAUCUCGAAGUGAGUUACAUGAUCUAUUGACAAAACCUUCUUUGAGUGCGAUUCCUUUGCUUGUUCUUGGAAACAAAAUUGACAAGUCAGAAGCUCUUUCUAAGCAAGCAUUGGUAGAUCAGCUGUGAGUUCUAGAUAUCAAUAUUGUCUUAUAUCUUUUUUCUUUAAAAAAAAAAAAUUGUCCUGAUGUGUUAUGUAACUAAUUGAACAUUUGGAUUUUCUCCUUGGUUGAUUUCAGAGGACUUGAGUCAAUUAAAGACAGAGAGGUCUGCUGCUAUAUGAUUUCAUGCAAGGAUUCUGUUAACAUAGAUGUAGUCAUUGACUGGCUAAUCAAACACUCAAAAACUGCAAAGUGAUCCUUGGUUUGGCCAGUAUUUCAUUUUUAGUCAAAGAUACAAGGCGUUGAGGAAAUUCCUUCUUGGUAGAAGAAUACAUUUUCAUUAAUUUAGUUGUGGUUCAAGUUUGUUUGUAUAGUAAUCAAACCAGGUCAGAUCACUCAAAUAUUGCAUGCAGUGUUCCUAUGUAUCAUAAACCGAUUAGUUGAUCUCGUACAUUUUAUUUUUUUUGGUUUCUAUUUUUAAUAAAAUACAAGUCCAACAAGUUUAUUUGUCUGAAAAAUUGAAUACUAUUGUGUUCCUUAUAUGGGGAAAAAAGUUAUAUCUUGAUGAAUGCUUCCCAAAUCACCAUUUGAAAAUGUAUCAACACUUGUCUUAGCAUUUGAAAGUAGCAAAGGCAUUGGAUAUUACUUGGCAAUCAAUUUAUUAUAUACAAGAAAGAUGGGCAUUAUUUAGAUUAGCGUGUGAUUUUUUGGUAUUUUUGUUUUUCGUUAUCUAGAAAAUAGCCGUGUUUGUAAGUUGUAACUUGUAACGCUUGUUUUAUAUGAUAAUAUGCAGCAGCAUAACAUGAGAAAUGACCUGUAUCUUUUCGGUUACAACAACAGUAAAAAUGACCAUUAAAUUACUGGAGUUGAAUGAUGAAUCUUUGGAAAUAGAAAACGCACAAAUUUCAUAUUGUGGUGUACAACUAUAGGGUUUUUCUUUCUAAAAUAAUACUAAAAUAAUAUUUAUCAAAAUAAUAAAAAAUAUAAUUACCAGUUUACGUAUAAUUAGAAAACGCCUAAUAAAAAGAUGUCAUUGCUCUUUUACAAGUUUAUAUUUUUGUUUUUCUAAGAAAACUGAAAAUGCCGACUUGUUAGGCGUUAACACCAUCUUUUAUAUUUUUAAAUAAAAAUAAAAAUAUAAUAAAUAUAAGUAAUGAUUAUAAGCAUACUCGUAUAUUAUAAUUUUAGUUAAAAUAUACUUGUAUCCUUCGUCUUAUUUUUAUUUUUUGGUUCUUUAAAAGUACUAAAAGAAUUGAAUUGGAGGAUAUAUAUUACAAGUUAUAACUUCACUAAAUAACUACAAACAAUAUCGGGCAAGUUAAACUUUUUUAACACAUCAUGGUGUAAAGUGAAAAAUCGUUCUUAGAUUGUCUCAUUGGUUAAUUAAGUAUGUGACAUCAUGACAACUUAUUCUUUUAUUUUAUUUUUAUAUUUAUGAUCAAGAAGCCUUAUUGAUAAAUUUGUGAGAUCAGGUCUCGGGUGAUAGGUGAUGGAUAAGGGAUGUCUUCCUUAGAAUAAUAAUUUCAAUAUUUGAACUCUUAAUAUUAUAAGUUUAACUGCUGUAAAAAAAAAUAUUAUAAGUUUAACUUAUAGUUAACUUUUAUUGGUAUUAAUAAAUAGUACAUGAAUUGAUAGUGUAAUAAAAAUUACAUUAUUAUUUAAUUAAAAAUUAUCAUAUAUAUAAUAAGUUUAUUAACUUUUAUAAUGACUCUCAUAAAAUUGAUAUCAAUAAUGAUUUGAAAUUAAUUGACAGUUUAAAAACUUUUUAUGCUCAAGGUACAUGCAUAUUAAUUUUUUAAAGUAUGUGACAAGUUGGAAUGCAAUAAAUAGAAUACAAAUUUUUUUUUUGAAGAAAAUUAAAUUUAUAAUAGCCUGAGUAAAAGAGAGAACUUGAUUUAGAUUUUUGUUAUACUUAGUAAAUUUAAACUGAUGUUUACUUUACAAAUUUUUCCAUAAAGAGCUUUUUCAUAUGGACCGUAUAAUCGCCCAUAACCCAUUAGAUAGAUGACUCCAAACCAAUUUCUCAGAAGGCCCACGACUUCUUGAAAAAAUAAUUUUGUUUUAUCUCAUCUGAAGGUUAAAAAUAUCUAUUCUUUCUAUGUAUUGCUAAUUUGAUUCAAUGGUCAUUAUUAAUUCAAAUAUUUAUUUAUUUUUAUUUGGUGGACUAUGGCUAUUGCCCAGCUGCCUGUGCGUAAUUGUUUUUGUUUGGCCACUAUUAUAAAAAUUAAAUGAUAAAUACAUAUAAGUAUUUUUCACAAAAGGUUUCACUAAACAUGAAAGUCAUGGCUGGGAUUUUUUUGCCAAUUACUUUCUAGCAGCCCUAAAAAUAUCAACUAUUAAUUCCUUUGUGUAGACUUUUGUGAUAAAUCUUUGUCUUUCAACCACUAUUUUUUAUACUAAAACAUGUUAAUUAGCUUAUUUCUUCAAUAGCGUCUGCGUUAUGCUAAAUUAUUAUACUUCCUUCUCAAAACUAUUUUUAAUAGAUGAUGUGUUUGAUUGAAUGCAACGUUUUUGACGCAAGUUUCCCCAAGCAAGAAUUGGAAUUUUCUAUAUAUGCAAUGUAUGAUCGAAAAUCCGUGAAAUAUCUUUGAGAAAACCAAUCAACGGAGAAGAAAAAACAUCACCCUAGGCAGUAUAUAUAUAUAUUUUUUUUCCUGAAAAUUUCAAGUAUACUUUUCCUCGUUGAAAAUUUUGUGGAUUUGAGAGAAGCACCUGUUAACAUUUGAGUUGACCGUGAUGUCAGCAACGUCAAAUUUUAAACUUCUUGAGGUAACAAUUAUGAUGUAAGCGUGAAGUGUCACGAAUAGAGAAAUUAGAUUAAAUUAUAUAGAUAGACGAAAAAAUACACAUAUAAUAUAUUAAUAACUUAAUACUCAAUGAAUAUAAUUCCGUUGACAAUACAUGCACUCUCACAUUGGACUAAAAAUCCUAAUUGGAUUGGUUGAAAAAAAUAUUAACCACCUAAUUACCUAAUAAUUGACCGAAUCACAAUUGAGAUUUUUGAUUUGUACGCUAAGAGCUCUACACGCAUGCACUUGUUUGUCUAAAUGUGUCAAGUACUUUAACAGUGCCGAGAGGAAGUUCAAAAGAGCACGUUGUCCUGUAGUUCUUUCUUUUCUUUCCCUCAUAGUUGUGUACAUAAUUAUUUUCAAUAAAUAUUAAUUGCAUUAGACAUGAUGAUAAAAGUUUCCAAUUAGGCACAACAUAUUUUGAAACCUAGCUAGUUCCAUGAUACUCAAAAUUAUCGCUCGUUAUAGUCAAGAAUUUAUUUAUUUUGUUGGAUGAUUUUGAAAAUCAUUGUUCCCAUGGACUUUGCGACUCUUAUCUAAGAUUUCAAACACUUAUUAACGUAAUAACACAGGCAUCAUUUCCUCACUAUUGUUGUGUAGGACAAUUAUGUCUCUCACUGACAUGUGAAAGGGCAAAAGAGGAUCGGUGGUUGCAUACACCAGCCACACGUUAGAAUGAUCUCAAAAUUUAUAAUAUAAAAUGUUAAUAAAAUGAUUUUAAAAAAUUGUCUAAAGUUCAAAGUCAGUACUACAUGACUUAUUAGGUGGCACUACGCAGGUAAGUCCAAGAUGGGUAGUUGUUGUUAUACGUCAAGGAUUUAUACUCUACUGAGAGAAUUGAAUAAAACAUAGAUCUUACGAAAUCGAAUUAACCCAGAAGCAGUUUUGUCAAGAAACCAGGAUACAUGCAUAGAAAGAGGAUACGUACAAAUCCAAUUUUUAUGCCAUUUUUAUACAAUAUAAAAUGUUUUUAUUCAUCAAUUUUAGUUUAUAUGGAGUUAAAUUUGUACCCUUUUUGUUGUUCAUUUUUAAUACUUCUUAAUUAAGGACUAAAAUUCAUAAAUAAAAAUAAACGAGGGUAUAAAAAUAAAUAAAUAAAUUUUAAUAAUUAAAAUCUGAAACCUGAAAUUGUAUAGAGACAAAACCUGAUUUAACUGAAAAAUUGAAUAAAGCAUAUAUGUUAGGAAAUCCAACUAACCAGCAGCAGUUUGGUCCAGAAACCAGGAUACAGAAACAUAUAGGAUAGGUACAAAUCUAAAUAAAAUAAAAUAACGGUCUUCUUAAUUAGUGUUCUGAUUUUUAUUUUGUUUUUGAAAGAACUAGUGUUCUGAUUUAGAGAUUAACAAUAUAAUUUUUUUAAUUAAAAUUUUCCUUAAGUAUGUACUGAAAGUAUACUGAGAUGCAUUAGUAACACUUUUUAAUGUACUUUUUUAACUAUUUUUUUUACGGUAUAAUGAGAAGUAGUAGUAACUUUAUUUUGUUUCUUUAAUCACAUUGGUUACUCUUUGUCAUUAAAAAAAUAUAGAUACAAAGAUGAUUUAGAUGGAUAAAAACAAGUUAGUGAAUGUCCCCUAAACUUAUUAUACCUACACAAUCUUGCUGUUAAUUAACAACUCAAACUCGGAGAAGAUUUAACUUGGGAACCGGCUGCUAGAAGAAGCAGGACUAAUCGUCAGUUAUUAAAUACAUAGAUUCUUCCAAUUUGGAGACACAACUUGAUUUUUGGGACCUAUGGUAGAGAACUGAAUCGCUAGUGUUUCGUUAAUUAAAGAAUGAUCAUGCAUAAAUUAAAAAUGAUGUAUAUCAUAUCAUUGGAAGGAAACUCAACAAAUAAUAAACAAAAACAGAGUUGUUAAUGGAGUAAGUAAAUGCUAUCGGUUAGAGAAGGUUGAUUUCAACAUUAAAAAUGCUUUUUUUUUUGCCAAAUCGAUCAAUAAAUAGUGAUAAUGUAUGAUCAUGAUAAUCUUCUAGGGAACUAGGGAAUGAACGGUCAAACACAUUAUUAUAAUCAUGUGUCCUAAUGGACCGUAGAUAAAUAUUAAUUAGAAAUUUAGAAUUAUAAACUUCGUUGUUGACAACUAUGAACCUUAUGUGUAUUUUUACUAUUUUGGUAUAACUAUUAAAGAUGUGUUUGUACUUUGUAUAUCAGUUGAAUUAUUGUGUCUUAUUGAUAUCAAGACAAAUUUAACAGGUGAAGUUGAGUGUUGCAUGAUUUAAUUUUGAGAAACAAUUCAAUGACAAUGAUAAUUUCUUGCCGUGCUCAAACGUGAUUUGCUUUGCUCUCUAACGGAUAUUAGGUGCCAUUUGUUUAGGGUUUGAUAAAAUUAAUUUUCGUUGUUGAAUGUGAUUCAGAUCUGAGAUAUAAUUAUGUUUGAGUCGGUCGGUGGAUAGAAUUAUUAUGUAUGGUAAUUUUUUUUGAAUAUUUGAUAUAAUUAUAUAUAUUUAAGAUUCGGAAUUAAGAUUAUUGUUUAAAUUUUAAAAAAAAAUUGUUUAAGAAUUUUGAGGACGAUGUCCCUACACUAUAUAUAAGGAUACAUGUUUAAGAAUUUUUUCCUUCUAGCUAUAAUUUUCCAACUUUCCAAAGUGUAUAGUUUCUGCCCUCCAUUGACCUUUCAUUGCGCAAGCAAUCUUUCAAUAUAAUUUUCUCCAAAUUAAUACGAGUCUCUUCACUAUUUUUUUGGAUAACGUUAUAUAUAUGAACAUGGUACUUCGUUUUCUGAAUCAUUUAUCAAUAUGAAGGAUAUAUUUAAGUAGAAAAAGCAUCACUCUUCUUUCGGGAGUGAAGCAACAAUUUGGAUAAAACAAUCACAGUUGAGUCCAUUCACCAUAUAUACAAUUAAGACGAUGCUAUUAUCAUGACACAAUAGUCAACAGCAAAAAUAGUUUGCAAAUGUCAAAUUCAAAGGUUGCUACUACUCUCUACUGGGUUGUUGCUGUUUCAUUUUCUCCAUCCCCUCAAAAAUAGCCGGCAGAUAUACUUACCUAGGCAAAUUCAUUCAGUCACCAAGACACACAAAUAAUAAUAAUAAUAAUCGCAUAUACCUCUUUGAAAUAUCGAUCGAUCAGCUAUGAACUCAGAAUAAUAUAUAGAGGUUACACACUAAAAGAAAAUAAAUUAAUUAACAAAAUAUGCUGUGAUAUAUAUAUAUAUAUAUAUAUAUAUAUAUAUAUAUAUAUAUAUAUAUAUAUAUAAUUAUAAUUAAACCUGUAUCUUAGUGUUAGCAAUUCUAUUCCAUGGGGGUUGGGGAAUUCAUUAUUCAUGAUAUGACGUGACUACACAGUGAAGAAUGGCAUACUAAAAUACCUUGUCAUUUUAUUAAUCAUCUCUACAGGGAUAUCUUUAUUUUGUAGCUAUUUAUCAUCUCUAUUCAAGUUGCAGUCAGAGAAGCUUAAAAACUCCAUCGAGUAUUAAAAUAUACAGUUGUAUUUUCAGGUAACAAACAUAGGAUUACUGAUGAAGAUUAAUCAGUCUCUAUCAGCUACGUCCUCCUUGGUUUGAUUAUUAUAUCUGAGGUUAGAUUUAAAAAAGUUUAUAGAUAUAAAGGUUACUCAGGUGCAUUUAUUUUCUUUAUACGUAUUUUAAUUUGAACACGUUAUCAAUUCGUCAUGUCCCUGCUAUCUCCCUUAAUUUCAUGUCAAAAAAGAAAAUUUCAAAAAAGUGUAUAAAGUACAGUGUAAUUAGACAAAAUCCCAAAAAUACACCAACAAAAUCUCAAAAACAAAAAGAAAGCAACAAAAUCUUGAUUAAGUGUCACAAUAUUCAUAGGAAAAUGUUUUAGUUAAGAUGGAAUAGAAACUUUUAUUUUAAAAUAUUUAUUAUAUAAAAAGAUAUGUGCUUAAAAAGUAUUUGAUAAAAUAUAUUUAGUGUUCCUUAGUCAUCCACUAGUUUUGCUGGAUACUUGUCCAGAUUUUCUCAAUGUUUUGUCACAAUUGAUGCUGUACGUAGGAGCUGUGUUCCUUCGUCUGUAAUCUUUUUCUUUAAUUUUCAUACGGAUAAAAAAAUACUUACAAUACUUUUUUUUUAUCACUUUUACAAUUUUCAAAAAUAAAAAAGAAUGCAGUAUUUUAUAAUUUUUCAUAAAAAUUAAACAUAAUAACAUUUUCUUAAAUUAUAUACUGUUUGGCUAUUUUUUUUCUCAACGUAAGUAUUAAACUACGAGAGGCUCAUGCUGUAUGACACACCAUCGUUGGGUCGCUCACAAAUCCUAAGUGGCUGUUUCUAUAAUUUUCGUAAUAGAGUGGCAAAAGGUCAAACCUUAUUAUGAAUACGUACAAAUAAUCUUUCAAGACCUUAAUAGAAAAAAAAGAAAGAAAGAAAGAUACAUAUAAAUGUGAUGUGAGGAAGCAUGACUAAGGUUGGUUUUGAUAAGUUCUUUUUCUAAUUACAAGUAAACUUUCAAAAAAAUUGUAAUGAUUGAAAAAGUUUAUUUUAACCCACUAAAAUUAACUUAAUGUGAUAAAGUAGAGAUAUAACAUUGAUCUAAUAAGUGAGAAAGGAUAAAAAAAGGAAAGAAUUUGCAUGUUCAAAUUUCUCUAAUAAAUAAUACUUUUUAAUAAAAUUAUUAAACUAACAAGCUACCAUUUACUGUUUUAAAAAAAUUGUGAUAAAGUGUUUAGGUAAUACAAAGUUUUAAGUUAAAAUUUUAUGGUUGUCAUUGCAUAAAAAAGAAUAACAUUAUUUUAAUGUUGUAUAUAUAUUUUUUUUCAAAAACAUAACCGCCUACUUUAAUUUUAAAACUACAUAUUCUUAUCAUCUUUUUAGAAAAAUUAUCCCAUAUAUAUUAUGAUAUUAUGGAAUUUUUUUAAUUUUGUUAUUAUACAUCUAAAUGAACAAUUUUUAUUUUUGAACCAAAAUAUCCAUUAAUUGAGAGCUAAGAACUAAUCCUUCAAACCAUUAAUCACAUAUUUAAAAGAUAAAAUUACAAUUAUGUUACAAUAAUUUAGUAUCUAAAAGAACAAUUAAUCCUGCACCCUUUUCUUUUGUUGGCAUUGAUGGCCAAUCUUUCUUGUUAUAUGUAUAGGUGUUAGCCCUCCCAUUUGCCGCUUAAAAAAAUAAUAGUUGCAAAUUUUUUGACAAUAUUUUAUUAAAAUUUGGCCUAGGUCUAACAUUUUUUAUUUUCUAGCAAGGGUAUAAUAGAAAUCUAAAUCGGAAUAUUCAAAUUUCAAACUUCUGUUUCAUUGACUUGAUGUUUUUAUCCAUCCAAAAUACUAGUUAAAAACAAAUGAUCAAUUUCCCUGUUUCUGUCCCUCUCUUGUUCUCACUUCUCACCACGUUCACACAUUGGAAGUAGUAGUAGUUAUAGUUAUUAUAAAUUGAAAAAACGUCCGAGAAAAAAAAAGAGAAGAGACUUAUGAUGUGUGUAUCAUUUGCGGUAAUGUCUUACUUUUACUUAAUACUCUUACCAUCCUCAUAGUCAUAGCCAUAGGUUUGAGUUAGUGAGUGGAGUAUCUCACGCUUCCAUCACAAGCAAAGCUGGUGGACGAGGUGGUGCUUUCUGAUUGAGACCCGGCACGUGCCUCAUCCCCAAUGCACACGUGCCCAUUUUAAACACAAAUCCAUAAUAACCGAUAAAACAAGAACAAUACAAGAAAGUAGUAUUAGAGAAAGAAAUAGUAUUGAAUAAUGCACACAAUUUUGUUCAUCAAUAAAUAAAAUAUAAAAUUGUGAUAGUGGGAUUUAGGACUUUUAGCGACUUUGAAGUUUAGAGGGGUUGAUUUCUAUAUAUAAAUAAGUUGGUGGUGGUGCUCUAUCCUAACUUGUGUGCAUAUUCAUUCCUCUUGGCUCCCUUAAACUCUCUUUCUCUCUUUGUGUGUCUCUUUCUCUAUUUCUGAGUCUCAGUGUUAGGGGGGUUAUUCAUUAUUCAUAAUAACUUGGCUUUAUAGCAUUUUCCCUUUUGAUAUAAAAUGGGAAGGCAACCUUGUUGUGACAAAGUUGGGUUGAAGAAGGGGCCAUGGACUGCAGAGGAGGAUAAGAAGCUCAUAAGCUUCAUCCUCACUAAUGGCCAAUGUUGCUGGAGAGCUGUCCCUAAGCUAGCAGGUCUCCUCAAUUUAAUCCUUAAUUUCUAGCCAUUCAAAUCAUUUAUGAAUAAUGAAAUGCCACAGUUUUUCAUGCUUCAUUUGCUAUUUGGUUAUGAAUAUCAUUAAAAUGGUUCAACAAUAUUUUGCAUUAUGGUCAAUUGGUUUUGUGGUCUUUCUUCAUGGUUCCUCUGUUCCGCAGCUCCUUUGAUUUCCAUUCUGUCAAUAACAAUGAAAUCAAGCACCACUCAAAAUUGUCAUACUCUUUUCACCUUUUAGUUAGAACUAAUCUUCAAAACAUGUUACAACAAAAGUUGAGCUUGCAUGUGUUUCUUAUGCCUUUUUAUUUGGAGAAAUCAUAUUUUUUUUCCCUUGGCUUCGUAGAUUGAGUGGAGAAAAUAAUCUUCAUGUUUGUUCGUUUUGUAAUUUUGAAUAAAAAUGCUAGGCAGAAACAAUUACUUCACUAAAAUUAAAUUUAACAAUUGGAGUGUGACUUCAUGCAGGGCUUUUAAGGUGUGGGAAGAGUUGCAGGCUCAGGUGGACAAAUUACUUGAGGCCAGACUUAAAGAGAGGUCUUUUAUCAGAAUACGAAGAAAAAAUGGUCAUUGAUCUUCAUGCUCAACUUGGCAAUAGGUUAUUUCCUAGCCCACUAUUUUCCCUUGUUUGCUUUUUCUGCAUGUAUAUUUUUCCUUGAAGAACAUUACUAAUAAUUAUAAUCAGUGAUUGUUACAGUGCUUAUUUGAAAUACUACUAGACUAGGCUUAUCUCAGGAAAUGAUGAAAAGCUCAAAAGAUAUCUUAAGUAUCACCAAACGCACCAACCUAAUUGAAUUUAUUAUUUUCAUAAUACAUACACCCCAAGUUGUAAUUCUUUAUUCAUCUUAGGGAAAAAGACGUGGUCCCAUGUCUCAAACCUGGUAGGGAAAGGAGGCGUACAUAAAUUGUAGACUAAGCUCUUUUAUUUUCAUAUUAUUUUUCCUUUUUUCGGGAUUAAAAAAAAAACUUCUCAUGAUUGCAGUUAAAAUUGACUAAAAUGGAAUGUCAUUGACGUAGAAAAGUAAAUAUGGGCCAAAUUUGUCUUGUGGGGAUUUUUUUUCUGUUUUCGUAACUUGCAUGGCAUAUGGAGCAUUUUAGUGGCUAUUAAUUCUUCCUUUCAAGUGAUCUCCGCAUAGACCUUAUGUUAAUGAAGGAAUCUUUGUUUCUUUCGCGUGUUUUCUUUUGUAAUCAAUACUGUAUAAUACUAUAUAUUAUUCUACUAAGGCAAAUGUUAACUAAUCCACCAGUUAAAAAAUUUAAAAUAAAAAUAUUUUUAUUAGAAAAUAUAAAAUUCUGCUAUUCAUAAUUUUUUUCAUGUUUUUUUAUGACUUUUAGAUUAAAAUUCGGUUAGUCAUACUCUUUUAUUAAUUAUUGAUAUUUUUUUCUUGUCAUUUUUUUUUUUACUCAGAUGGUCUAAGAUUGCUUCUCAUCUCCCUGGAAGAACUGAUAAUGAGAUAAAAAAUCAUUGGAACACACACAUAAAGAAAAAGCUCAAGAAAAUGGGCAUUGAUCCUGCCACACAUAAACCACUUCCUAAUGCAAAUGAACAAAACCAAAAUCAAACCAGACAAGAUCAACAACUACACCACCAACCAGUAGAAUUAGAAGAGCCUAACCAACAACCUUUGCAAGUUGACUUUGACCCCAAAGUUGACCCAAAUAAGGAGCCAGAGAAGCCAGAGACUUCAUUGGAAUCAUCAACCAUCACUGAAGAAGCCAAAGAGGAAGACCAAAUCAUAACACCCUUAUUUGACACAAUGGAGCUAAUGAAUGGUUUCUGCACAGAUGAAGUUCCAAUAAUUGAACCUCAUGAGAUUCUAAUGCCUUGUGCUCCUUCCUCUUCAUCCACCACCUCUUCAUCAUCUUCUUCAAAUUCAACCAAUUUUCUUGAAGACUUGCAGCUACCAGAUUUUGAAUGGUCUUGUAAUUACAAUGAUAAUAACACUAUUACUAACAAUAACAACAAUGAAGACAAAGACGACGACAACAACAACAAUAGCAGCAUGGCCUUGUGGGAUGAUGACAUUAUUGGCAACCGUUAUUGGCUGAUUAAUGAAGAUGAUGAUAGUGAUGAAAACCAAGUGUUUGAUGCUUCUCUCACUCAAUUCUCAAAAAUGUUCAUGGAAUCAGAAUCUUGGGGAUAUGGCUUAUUUUGAUUUGAAUUUUCUCCCCAUUAUUUGCGAUUUGCUUCUAAGUUUUUACGAAGAAUAAACGGUUAAUAAUUUAUUAGGAAGAACACAACUGUUGUUUAGCAUUACCAACUUUUCACUUUAUCAUUUACACAAAUUACAUGUAAUAUGUUAAUGGAAAUAAUAAGUUUCUUUCUUUGCAGUAAAAGUAAAAGUUUCUCUCUUUUUUUUCUCUGUUUUAUUUUUUUAAUUCAAUAGAUAUACAUUGUUAAUAUAAUAAAUAUUUUUUAUUUUGUUAAUUAAUAACAAAUUAUUUUUCUCUUAUGACUUAUUCUCAUUAUUAUUAUUACUCAUUGUAGUCUUUUUCUUACUAGCGCUUUCUGUUUAUUUCUUUUAUUAUGAAUCGGAUAUGAAAUUUUCUUGCCACUCAUGUUGGUUUGUUGUUCUAUUCGGUCGAAGUCAUUUUUUUACUUUUUCAUUUUUUGGUAUAAUUGUUGAGGUGGUUCUAAUGCUAGUUUCAGAGUCCUUAUCUUUCAAAUAAAUAAAAAGUCCUUAUCUUCAUACAACUAUAAAAUUCAUGUUUAUUUUAUUUUAAGGUUUUGUUAAGCAGACUCCUUUACUUAGAAAUAAUAAUAGAUUAUUUUUAUUAAAAAUCAUGUUAAGAUUUAAGAAUACAGUAAUGCAUAAAUAAUAUAUAUCAAUAUUUUUACCAAUAAAAUUGUUUAGUUUUUUGGUGGAAUAUGGAAUACAAAAAAACAACUAAAAUCCACACGAUAAACCAACAAAGGAAUAAUCAACUAACAAGAAAACAAAGAUAGAAUUUAGGACAACAACAAAAUCUCUUUCUGUAAUAUGUAUGGAUAGAAUGAACUUGGCGAAGGCAUUUGCCACCCAUUAUUGCAAUACUGCAUACUUUGAGUGAUGGAGUUAUGGCAAGACAUUCAAAGCUGACAUCCAUUAAUUGUGGAGGAGAUUUAGAGUCACAAUUUUGAAUUAUAUUUGACAUGAAUAUUUCUAAAAUCACAGCUAAGUCAGGUAAAUCCUCCAAAAAUCUAAGUGGGUUAAAUCACCGAAGGUAGAGGAAUAAACAAUGAUAAAUGUACUCUUACAAGUAACCAUUUAUUAAAAAAAUUCAAAAAAAAAAAAUCCAUAGUUAUAAAAGGAAUAGGACUAAUCAGUAAUAGACAAAAUCGUUCAAAGAAAAUCAUGAUAUGUAGACGUGAACCUAAUUACAAGACUUUCAAUUUAAAAUAUUUUAAUGAAGAAGUUCUUGUGUAGAUACAAUCUACAAAAGAUAUUUAUACUAAAACAAUAAAUGACAUACACACCAUUAUUGUUACUAAUGUAAAUUACAGUAACUUUUAACCACAUAUUUAUGCAACAAUUUAAUUAACGGAAAAUGAUGAUAAAUGCCAUAUAUUUAUGAAAAAUGUUAUAUGAAUACCCAAUGUCCUAUUUGAUCCCGGAUGGAGGAAAAAACAUAUAAGUAUGAUAAAAUUAUGAUGUAAUAAGAAGAAAUGGAUAAAAAUAGAGUGUUUUUUUUAUCAAAUAGAAAGAAAUAAUGAUUUGUGCAUAUCAUUACUCUAUAUUUAUUGACAUAUUCAGUACAACAAUAAUUUUUGCAAGUCUUUCAACUUUCAUCAAGCUCUUGCAUUCACAAGCGUGUUGACAUUUUCCCUUACCCAGUGGUUCCAAAUAUGGGGGUCAAUAUCACUACAACGAAAAGUGACAUUUAGUCAUGCAAUUAAUUACAAGAUGUGAGUCCAAGAAAAGAGAAUUACAAUAUGUGAGAAUAGUCUUCUGAAUUAUACCUAAUCGUGCGCAUCAUUCUCAAUCCAUACCACGUACGCGUCCUUUGCUCAUCGAAUCUACAUAGAAAAAAAUCAACUUACGUUAGGACAAGCACAAUGAGACUUCCUCAAAAUAACUAAUCAUUUAUGUCUUUUAUGCAUAGUCACAAUCGGAAACAAGAUAUAAUAUUAUAAUAAUCAGUUAGAUUCAUCUUUUAUUAUUUUCAAUUAUGAAAAAUUUGUAUAAAAAUGUAGACUAUCUAUUCUCUCUCUCUCUCUCUUUAUAUAUAUAUAUAUAUAUAUAUAUAUAUAUAUAUAUAUAUAUAUAUAUAUAAAAUUAUUUAUACAGUGUUAGUUUACAAACAAAUUAUUUAAUUUUUUUGUACCACACAAUUAUUUUGUUUAAAAUUAUAAACUAAUCUCACGAUUUAUGUAGCAUACAAGAAACAUGUUUCAUGAGAUUUCAUGUAGCUAUACCUCAACACUUGGAAUCAAAUUAGAUAAAUUUCACAAAAAAUACUUUUUUUAAAGGCAAAAUCAGAUUGUUGUUAAUAAAAACUGAUCAAUAACACAAGAAGCGUCUAAAACCAGGGAUAAAUUUCAGCCAAGGAAUACAAUUCCUAUCGGAUUAUUAUAUAUACAAUUCAACACAGGCGGCACAAAAGUCCCUUGGUUACCUAUAAAUUUAGGGUAUAUGUUUGGAUAAAUUUUUCAUAAAUAUUUUUAGCAAAAGAAAAAAGAAAAUGAAAAAAUUUAUUCAUAAACUAAAAUUAGUCAAUACAUGGAUUAAUUUAAUUUGUAGAAAUUUUUUCAUAUAAUUUUCUAUAAAAAAAACUUAUGUAUACAAAUUAAUUUUAACUUGAAGUUCAUUUUUUUCUCUAGAAGUAUUUCUGGAUAUGUUUAUUUAAGUAGACCCUCAAAAGAAAAUAAAAUAGAUCAAAUGCAUAAGUUAUUCAAUUUUUCAACUUUUAUAUUAUCAUUCUCGUCUAACCUUUUCGUAAACAUCAUAAAAUUUAUAGGUCUAGAAAAUUUUAGUACCAACAAAUAGAUCAUACAUUAAGAAAUACUAAAUACCAGCAAUAAUGAAUGAGAAAAAUAAAUUUAUAAAUGUAAGAUGUUCUUCAAUGUAGGAGAAGUCACAAAAACGUUGAGAAAGAUAAUCAUAGAAGAAAAAAAAGGUUAAGUAGCCAUCAAAUUUAGGAACCGAAUUGAAAUUAUUAUUAUUAUUAUCAGUGACUCAUUUAACCAUUAGUCACAUAGAUAAAUCUGUGACCGAACUGAUUUUUUUUUUUUUUUACUUAAAUAACUUUUUAGUCUAUAUAAAACAGGAGGCUACUGAUAUUAUUACUAUUUCUAAAAAAAUGGGGGCGAUGCGUUAAAAUGAUUAGGAACAAAAUCCAUGAAAAAGUGAUAAGUUAGGAUAAAAAAGUGUAAUCAAUCCUUUUAUAUUUUUAAACCAGCAAAUGAAUCGAGAAGAAAAACUAGAGAAAAAUUACUUUGGAAAAAUCUAUGCAGCUUUUUUAAAGAAAUAUUCAAUUUUUCGUGCAGAUUUAAAUAUGCAAGAAAAUUUACAAAAUGUAAAAAAUUUCUAGAAAUUUUUUUGUCAAUAAUCAAUAAUAAAACAUACAGUACACGUCUGUAGCAAAAUUAAUUUACAGGAAACUCGAGCUAAAAAUUUUGCAAAAAAAAAAAAACCAUGAAUCCCUAGUAGUGUAAUUUGUAUAAUUAGUAAUUUGAAAAAUACAUUACUUUAAUGUGAGAUAGAAGAAGAAAAUUCUGUAAAUGAUUAGGUAAGCUUAAUAAGGAUAUUGUCCGAGCAAGUUCAUUAGUUCUUACCGUGUAAAACUUGUCUUAUAGUUUGUGAUUGGUGUGUGAAGCAUUUCCAACGAGGUCAUAAUUAAACUAUUAAGCAGUUGUUAGAUGGUCAAUUCAUAGAUCCCUACGAUUGCACAUUAUUUCCAAUAUCUACAUUCAUUGUAAUCCCUUGGUAGAUCCUAAUUUCAUUCAUACAUUAAAAAGCCAAUAGGAAAUCGUCAUUUUAAGUUCAUAUAUAUAUAUAUAUAUAUAUAUAUAUAUAUAUGUGUGUGUGUGUGUGUGUGUUAAGAAACAGUCAGAUUAUGGACUAAAUAAAUAUUGUAUAUAUAAUUUUUCCGAUAAUAAUUAUUAAAAAAAAGUCUAGGCUUCAUAAUAAAACAAACACGGAGCCCAUUUUUUACGAGUAUGGAGGGAAAUUGUAUAGUAUAUAUGCUUUUAUCUUAACUCGUGACUUGUAAACUUAAUUUAUCUAAAAACAAAUUUGAUAAUAAUUAAAUUAUUAUUGCAAAAGAACAAUUGAAAAAUGUUUAUGUAACUGAUUUUUGAAUAAAAACAUUAAUUUAUUUUUUGGGAGUUUUCCUUUAAUAUUUUUUUUUUUUGAAAAAAUAUAACAUGCUUUGUUUGCAGAAAUUAUGAACUAACGACGAAGCCUCGAACAGCUAUGCUACGAAUAUUUAGCACCGGACCCAUCCUUCUUUAGUUCUGAUUAACUAUCACUCUUACUUUUUUGACAAAAUAACUUUCACUUGAUGGAAUACAUUUGAGCUUAUUAGUCUUGCAGAAUAUUCUUUCAGGCUGAUCAAUAUUAAAUCAAGGAAAAAAUUAUUUUUACUCUCUACUUUUGGCCAGAUGUGAUUAAGGUCGCUACUUGUUCCUCAAACUUUUGAAAACAUGCAAAUUUAGUAUUUUCUGAUUAAAGAAUUUAUCAUGUUAAAGUUAUAAGGAAUUAAAUUAUGUGUUUUGAAAAUUUUAUUGAAAAUCAAAUAAAUAAAUUAAUAUGAAGCGUAUAAAUACCUUGGCAAUGUUUGACUGAAAGUAUAACAACUAAAAAUACAUUUUCUUUAAAUUAAUAUAUUUUUGCAGUAUACAGAUUUUAUAUAAGUGGUUAAAUUGUUAACGAUUAUAUAUAUAUAUAUAUAUAUAUAUAUAUAUAUAUAUAUAUAUAUAUAUAUAUAUAUAUAUAAUUAACGGAGAGAAUUAAUUUACAAGAAUUAAGAUAGAAAAAGGUAAAAAAAAAAAAAAGAGUGAGAAACUAAAAAGGUAAAAUGAUUGAAUCCAAGGUUUAUAUAUGGCUGUUUUUUUUUUGCUAAAGGGAAUUUUUGUAUAGUGUAUACAAGCAAACAAGAAUUCUAGAAACAUCUUUUAUCAUGCAAUUGGCGAAAUAAUUAACUUCCCCGUUGAACAAUAUUAUCCUGCUUAAGGGGUUAGCAACCAACUCAAAGUGAAAAUAAAGUUAGCAAUUUCAUGUAAAAUACAUCAGUGCGUAGUAUAAAACAAAUCUAUUUAAAUUUGGAUUCCCUCGUUUACUUUACUUUAAUAAUUUACAUAUUGAAAAUCAUUAUUUAAAGUUCAGUGCAGAUUAUGAAAAUAAAGUAAUAAAAUUAAAUUAAAUUUAAAUAUUAAUAUCUUAAUUAUGUUAUUUAACUUUUUUUUCCGUAGAAAUUAAACAGGAUGAAAAAGAUUUAUAAUACUUAAACCUCUUUGAGCUAGACCCUUUUAUGUUAUUUUACUUUGUAAUCCCAUUUUCAAUAUGUAUAACAAAUGCGAUGCAUAAAGGCCACGAGCGAGAGUAAUAUAUAGAUGAAAAAGUACCAACAAAUAUGCACAGGUGUAUGUAGUAUAAAGUGAGGGGCAUAAAGUGUUGUAUAAAACAAUAUACAUGUGAAAAGGGCAGACCAUAGGUUUCAUGUCAUCCACAGAAACACGAGCAGAGAUUAGAACAAAUAGAAAAAUAAAGAGGCAUGGGAAUAAAAGCUGUUGAUGGUCCAUGGAUUGGGCAAAGAGGGAGGUAGAUAUGAUUUUUUAAGAAGAAAAAGCGAUUUAGAAGAAGUGAAGUUGGUAGUAAGUGUUUUAUUUUUGUUUUGUUUAAAUUCUCAACAGAGAGGAUAUAAGGAAAUGAAAGAUGCAUGAUUGAUAGUAUUUGGUGAUUUGGUAGGUCACUCCUUUUUUGAACUUAUUUUUAGUAUGAUAUAUUGGAUGGAAUGUGAGAUGAGAGAAAAUAUUAGAUAGUUCAGAAUUAUUAUAAUUUUCUUAAUUUAUAUAUGACACAUAAUUAAUUGAUAAUUAAGUAUAUAUUGUUAAUUGUUUUCAUAAAUAAAAAAUAGAAUUUAAUGACGAUAUAUUUUAUUAUUUGUAUGAUUUUAAGUUAAUUAAAUUAAAAUUUAAUAAAUUUAUUAUCCAUAAUAAAUUAUUAAUUAUGAUUAAAUAAUAAUAUAAAAUUAAUUUACACCAUUAAUAUAUAUAGUCUUUUAUCUCAAAAACUUAAAUAUGUAUUAUAUAGAGAUUAAUCGGGAUAAUGAAUAUUAUGAUUUUAUAUUAGUAUUAUUUUUUUUUAUAAGAAAUAAGUUUCAGUUUUGAUUUUUUUUAUAAAAAACAAAUUUAUGGUAUUUUAUAAGAAAACUUAUUUCUUAACAAAAAAAAAAAAAACAGAAAUCAGUGUGAUGGGAUACACUGGCACAAAAAGUGCAUAACUGAAAUGAGAAAUAAGUAAGAUAUGGGGCGGUGCAGUUUGGUCUCCCAAAACGAAUAGGACGGUAGACCCAAUCACGCAUGGAUUCCAUUGGUGGAUGUAGUGGAAUUUUGGGCCCCAUAUGUGACUCACCAAAAUCCUAAUGCUUCCAAAAGGUUUGAUAAAUAAGGGCCUUAGAACAAAGGUAUACAAUACUCUCUCUCUCUCUCCCAACAUGCUUUUCAUCAUGUUUCAAAUGAAUCAAUCUUCAAAUGAGUGCUUCUUCACAAGUCAAAUUUUUUGUGCUUUAAGGUGUUAAAUUAAGAUUUAUAUUCAUUCAUUUCGUCCAAAUGUUUAUGUCAUUAACCGUUGAUUCAAUUAUUCCUUUCGCCUUUGGGAUAUCCUUACAGCUAAUCAGCUACAAUUAUGGGAUAAUAUGCCAAACCAAAGUGAGAAUUAAGUAAAACUUUCCUUAGGGUGGCAAUUUCAAUAUCUAACCUCUUCAUAUUCCAAGUAAAAGUUUCAUGGUAUUAUAAAUAUUAAUUGUAUUUCUACCACGAUGGACCGAUGUUUACUAUAUAUUGUUGAGAUAAAUCUUUAAUGAGAUCAACUCAACACCAUGCAUGACAUCAUGAGGUCAAUAGUUUCAUAAUAGUUCUCUCUUCUUCUUUUUAUCAGCAAACAAAAGGAACUAUUAUUUCACCACAAUAGUCUCUUAUUCUUAAAAACCACCGUAAUAAGAAGGACAAACAGUUACACGCGUGAUCCAGUACUGUUAAAGCAUCUCACACUAUAAAUGACUUCACCCUUGUAAUAACAUUCCCUUGUUUGCAUCUAUCAUACAUAUUAUUAUGUUGUCAUUCACUAAUUUGAGAGUUGAAGUGCUUUUUAUAAUACUCACCCCAUCUCUCAAAGGAGUCUUGAAACUUGAGGAAAAAGAGGAUUAUCAACCCUAUUGGAGUCUAUAAACUAACCACACAGAAUUUAGUUAAUAUUUGUAUAUAAGUUCAUCUCAUAAGUAUCAAUGUUAAUUUAAGUAGUGAAAUUAAAUUAUGGGUAAAAAGUUUUGAAUUCAACUUUCGUUAAUAUUUUUAUUAAUUAGAUUGCCAUCUGUUAGUUACUCGUUAUAAGCUCUAAUUAUGGUUCGAGACAAUGUCCUAAUUUUAGCAUUGAAUAACAUCUCGCCCUUAUACUUUAAUAUUUACUAGCUAAUCGAGGGAUUAAGUUUAAAAGAAUAAUUAGUAUAUAAGAUGAUUUUAAUUUGAUUAAAAAAAGAUGAUUUUCAUUAAAACAUGCCAGACGUGUCAUGUUCUAAAUUAUUUUAAUCGAACAUUUUCGUCAUUUAUUAUAUUUUAUUGACAAACAAGUAUUUUUUUUAUAAAAUUAAAAGCUCAAAUUAGUAUUUAUAAAAAUUUAUUCCUUAAAUUAGUUUUUAUAGAGAUUAUUAAACAGUCAAAUAAUGCUUUACUCAAAGGAAAAUGAAAUUCGCUAAAAAGAACUAGAAUAUAUGUAUCUGGUGCAUUUCUUUUCUUCACUUUCAUGCAUGACCCUUUUUUUGUUUUCUUUCAAUCUCUAUCUCUGUUUAGAUUUGGUUAGUGGAUGUUAAUUAAUUUACACAUGGCAUAUGAAUUCCCUAAUGCUUUGGUCAUUCAUACAUAUGCUAGCUAGCUUGAAAACCUAUUUGCUAGAAUGACUUCUACAACCUAAUAAUAGUGACUUCAGCAACGCACUAGCUUGACGCAAUAAUACUAGCCCUAUAUAAUUAAUUUAGAAUAAUAGAUUGACAUCCUGGUACCUUCCUUUUUCUAACUAAUUGUGGAACAUUAUGAUUAUGCUGUUUUCUCAAAAUUGGCAUGUUCUGAAAUGGUGAGAUGACUGUGUUUCGAAUAAAAUUAUUCUUUGAAAAAUGACUUGUAAAAAAACGAAAGAAAGAAUUAGUGUCACAUUACACUGAAAUCCCUCGGUCCACACCCCUUACCAAAUGGUGGAAUAAUUUCUGGUUCAGUCUUCGGAUAUGACUGCUUGCCAACGCAACAGAAACUUAAAAGAGAUACCAACAAUUUAGAGAAGGCACUGCUUUUAUGAAACCGACCAGCUGAAGAAAUAAAAAGAGAGAAUAUCAUUAUUUUUCAUCACCAACUUUCAAUUAUAUAUAUAUAUAUACAUAUAUAUAUAUAUAUAUAUAUAUAUAUAUAUAUAUAUAUAUGAUACAUCCUAUAACUUUAAGUAAUGAUGGGUAUUCAGAAGCCUAUUAGGUAUUCUAUUUUUUUAUGGAUGUGUCACGACGUAUCCUUUCUUAAUUUUCAUACAAACCUUAUUUUUUCAUAUGUACUAUUGCAAUGCAGCAACAUUACAAUAUGAGAACCACAUAUUAUGUUUUGGAGAAAAAGGUGUGAUGUAGACACAAACACUUUGUCCCAGACAUUUAUACUUGGCUUUGCAUUUUGGUCUUUCAUAUGAUCGAUUAUAGGUGCUAUUUAAGCUUGCUUUCAAUGAAUUUUCAAAUAUUCUAGCAUUCUGAAUGAGUUGGCAGAAGCAGUGUCUUUCCGGACCUCUUGGUUGUUUUCUAGUCAAAUAGGGUACCGAAGCAUUGAUUUAAGUAAUUUUAACUACUCUAUUUUACUAGUUUAUGUUAUGUUCCAUUUCAAAUGAAAUUCUACGGGGCGUGGUGGAAUAGUAAUUUAUUGAAUAUAACAUUAGGUAGAGUGCUAUUAAAAAUAACCAAACCCCCAAACACUCUCGAGUUUNNNNNNNNNNNNNNNNNNNNNNNNNNNNNNNNNNNNNNNNNNNNNNNNNNNNNNNNNNNNNNNNNNNNNNNNNNNNNNNNNNNNNNNNNNNNNNNNNNNNNNNNNNNNNNNNNNNNNNNNNNNNNNNNNNNNNNNNNNNNNNNNNNNNNNNNNNNNNNNNNNNNNNNNNNNNNNNNNNNNNNNNNNNNNNNNNNNNNNNNNNNNNNNNNNNNNNNNNNNNNNNNNNNNNNNNNNNNNNNNNNNNNNNNNNNNNNNNNNNNNNNNNNNNNNNNNNNNNNNNNNNNNNNNNNNNNNNNNNNNNNNNNNNNNNNNNNNNNNNNNNNNNNNNNNNNNNNNNNNNNNNNNNNNNNNNNNNNNNNNNNNNNNNNNNNNNNNNNNNNNNNNNNNNNNNNNNNNNNNNNNNNNNNNNNNNNNNNNNNNNNNNNNNNNNNNNNNNNNNNNNNNNNNNNNNNNNNNNNNNNNNNNNNNNNNNNNNNNNNNNNNNNNNNNNNNNNNNNNNNNNNNNNNNNNNNNNNNNNNNNNNNNNNNNNNNNNNNNNNNNNNNNNNNNNNNNNNNNNNNNNNNNNNNNNNNNNNNNNNNNNNNNNNNNNNNNNNNNNNNNNNNNNNNNNNNNNNNNNNNNNNNNNNNNNNNNNNNNNNNNNNNNNNNNNNNNNNNNNNNNNNNNNNNNNNNNNNNNNNNNNNNNNNNNNNNNNNNNNNNNNNNNNNNNNNNNNNNNNNNNNNNNNNNNNNNNNNNNNNNNNNNNNNNNNNNNNNNNNNNNNNNNNNNNNNNNNNNNNNNNNNNNNNNNNNNNNNNNNNNNNNNNNNNNNNNNNNNUAUCGAUUAUGACAUAUAAAUAGAUACAUAUUACAUAUAUAUAUAUAUAUAUAUAUAUAUAUAUAUAUAUAUAUAUAUAUAUAUAUAGAUUAAAUUAUAUUGAUGUAACUUUGAUAAUUAUUACAUUAUUUUAUAAGUUUCAAUUGAAUAAUAUUUUCUUAAAACUCAUCGUUGGAUUGAAAGUUUCUUUCACAUAGAUCAUAUGUAUAAAUUUUCAUAUUAAUUCAAAAUCAUUUGUUACCUUAUUCAUAUAGAUUAAAAUCAACAUAAUAUAAACAUUUCAAAAUAUAUUAAAAUAUGAAUUAUUUAAUUACAUUUUUGUUGUUGUUUAAUUAUGACAAAAUUUGACAUAAACGAUAUUGAUAAUAUAUAGAUAUAUUCAACAGUUGAAUCAAUAAAAAUCAUAUUUUAUAUCAAGUUAUAAAAAUUAUGUAAUAUGUUAUAGUUAUAGCGGUGUAAUUUAAUCUCUCUUCUCUCUAUUUAUAAGAAUUUUAUAUUUUAAUUAUAUUUCUUUUUUGUUACUAAAUACAAUGUUUUUAUUUUUUCAAAACAGUGAAUAAAAGAAAAUAUAAUUUCUCUUUACAAGCAAUUUUAUUUUAGAAGGUAAUGAAUAUUUUUCCUUUUGCUUUAUUAUUAUUUUCUUUGCUCCCAAAUAAGACAUGUUCUUUUAAGAAAUAUAUAAAGUGCUUUAAGAACCACCGAUUGUCCUAUAUUAUAAUAGUCAUUGGAUAUGAUUAUGUAAAAUUUAAAAAGUAUUAAAAUAAUUUGCAUAUUCAUCAUAGUCAAUAAAAACCAAUCGAUGGUCUAAAAUUUAGGUGGAUUAUCCUUUAAAAAUCCAUCUUUUCAAUAGCUUGGUAAAAUGAAGCAACUGAAAGUACCUACUUAAGUGGACCCAAUAAUAAUGAUAAAAGAAAGUACCAAACUAAUGAAAUAAUGUAACGAACCUAGUACAAAGUUCCAGUGUCUUUGUUCAUUUUUGUUCCCAUAGGAAAGUGGGGUCUUCUGUUGGUUAUAACUCAAAGGGUAGGGACCUGAAAGCCCAAAUGAAAAAAAAACCCGUGUAAUAUUAUUAUAAAUUUUUCUACACUAUCAACCAUAGAUGUAAAACUUGGUUCAUUCUGGUUCAAUUGGAGUCUAGUGGUAUAACUAGAUUGAUUUUAUUAUUAGAUUGUUUAUGUAUGUGAUUCGGGAUGAUCCGAUCAAACUUAGUCAAUUUUAUGAAAAUUCAACGACCUGACCGAUCUUUAAAACACGAGUUCGAUUGUGUACAUUAAAAAAAAUUGUCACGUUUGAGAACAACGUCGUUUUGAAUCAACCCUAAAAUCUUAGUCACUUCUCUUCUUCACGCUCAUCUGCUUAAGACUCUCGACCCUUCUCUUCAUCUAAAUGCUUGUCUCGACCACCACCGCACUACAAGCCGUCGCCGUCGCCGUCGCCGCACUACAAGGGAACUCGUCGUGCCAACCUCGUCGCCAGUAAUGCGAAUGAAGAGGUCAACGACCUAGGAGGGGUCAAACUUUGACGACAUUGUGAAGCGGUGAUGAUCGAAGAGGAAGAGGAGUGGUUUUGAAGCGAGAAACAGAGAAAAUGAGGCGCAACAUGAAGAGAGGGUUAUAUAUAUAUAUAUGGAGGAUUAGGAUUUUUGGUUAUUUGAAAGCUUCUAUUGGGCCUAAUCCGCCCGGAUUCACUUAUUAAGAUGUUGCUUCUUGUACUCCUUUUAUUGCUACCCGCACUUUUCAUUUUGCAUUUCAUAAUGGUCUUUUCCAUUAUAUAUUGGGAAGUGCAGAAAACAAUAAUGGGGGUGCAGAAAGUUUAUCCACACUUUUUUGUUUAUUGGAAAACUGGACUUCUUGGCUCAUUGUGUUUAUUGGAAAUUGGACUUUGUUUUAAUUUAGGUAGUUGCUAUUUACACUCUUUUAUUACUAAUACACUUCACUUGUGUUAUCAACUUUAAUACUUUAAUUAUUAUUUUAAAUUUUGGAAUAUAGAAUUAUGAAUGAAUUUUUCUUAAUCAAAUAAUAUUAGUUAUAUAGUUAUAUAUAAUAGAUACAUAUAUAACUUUAAAUUUUUUAAUAUAAAUCGGGUCAAAUCGAACUAAGUACUAAUCCACCGGUUGAACCACUGACCAACUAUUUUAAUCGGAUCAAUGACUAAAAUGGGUUUCACUAUGCUAUUAACUAGUUAAAAUGAUCUUAAAUGAAAACUUUAAAGUAACUAUUACAAAACUUAAUAAUCUUAUCAUAUUUGUGACAAUCUAUUCUAUUUACUACUAGAUAAGGGAGUAAUAAAUAUUAUUAGUGUGUUUCAAUUAAAUUAAAAAUCAAACAUCCUGUAACUGAGCAUGAUUUUUUUAAUAAUAUUAAUCUGUGAAUAAGUGAAAAAAUUUAUUUCCUUUUAAGUGAGUUUUUUUUUUGUAAUAUUUGUCUAAAAUUAUUAAUUUUCUUAUGAUAAUUUACUGUAAAUAUAUUAUUUUUAAGAAAUUUACAUAAAAUUAAAUAUACUUCAUAACUUUGUCAAAUGGGCAUUUAGGUAAGAAUAUAAGAAUUACCUCUAACUUAAAACGCCAUUCAAAAUGAAUUUUGUUUCCCAUUCAUUAAAAAAACUCUGGUAAAUAGCUCUUCCAAACCAUUCAAAAUAAAUUUUUCAAGAUGGAUUGCUUUUGACUGUACAGCAAAGUGGAGCCUCAUCAAUGCCAUCCGUAAUCUUCUUCGAAGGGAUUGGACUUGGAGGACUAGAAUCAUCCCAUUGAAACAUCAAUUUUAAGACUCAAACUAUUAAAAUUAUAGAUAAAAUUCUUACGAUCCUUGUUAGAUAUUCUAGAAAUAUUUUUCCAGAAUAUUUAAUAAAAAUAAUUCUCGAAAUGAUGCCUCAAUUGGUAAAAAGUGAUCAAAUAGGAGAAAAAUGAAACUAAAUAUUAUGUUGUUUUGGGCCAUCUCAACUCAAAGCACUACAUCAAGUCAAAUUGUAAAAGUGUUGACCAGGGUCAACUUCCCAUGUAGGUGCAAGAUUUUUAAAAUACAUUUAUGAACAAUGAAUUCUACAUCGGUCCAAAGUAAAAUUACUUGAUCUCUACAUGCCAAAGAGCAAAACCAACAUCAAGACACCUCUAUUUACUUGAAGUACACUUCAUAAAUUCAAUCCAAAUUUCAAACAAAGUCAAGCAUCCUACCUUGAAUACAUCAUUUAUCAAAUGCUCUAAAAUUGAUGUCUCAGUUUUCAUAAAUCACUGCAUCAUCCAUCAAUUCUAGUUAAAAUUAAGAAAACUUAAUAGGCCAAUUAAACCGAUUAAAUCAAGAACCAAUCCAUGUCAGUUUAACUUAACAGUUUAAAAGGAACCUAACAAAGUUAAGUCAAACACUAUAAUCCCAAAUGCAAUUUUGGUAUUCAAACAAUGAAAAUUGAAUCUAAUGCAAAUAAUAAACCAAACUUGACUUCUGAGAAAAACGAGAUCAACAUAAAGAAAUGAAAACAAAAGUUAAUCACUUUUUUAAUGCUAUAACAUGGUUAUGUAUCUACUUUGAAGGCAGAAUUUGUCGUUUGCCUGAAUAUUAAAAUCUGAACUCCUUUACAGUGGUAAAGCAUGGUUUGAAGCAUAACUAUUUGAAGCUCCACCAUGCAUUCCUGAAAAGGAUGUAUUGUAGCUCGGAACAAAUGUUGAAAGUUUUCAUGUUGAACUACUUUAUAAUUGCAUGGUCAUGGUCUCAAAGAAUGUUACCAAUAAAUAUACAAGGUAUACAUAUGGAAACAUUUUCUGCACAAGCUAACCUCUAAUCAGACAUGGGACUACUACAGCUUAUGUUACUGUCAGGGCUUUGAGAACACAUGUAUUCUGCAACUUUUCUGGGGACGGUAGGCAUCACUAUGGUUCCACCAUUAUAACCAUCCUCCAGCAACUUCCCUAUUUUAGAUCGCCACUCUGAAGAAUUGUCCUCAUUUUUUGCUGUCAUGCACAACUCUGUCACAGUAGUUAAGCAUAGUUGCCAGGCCAGUAUUUGGUGUCCAACCAUAUUCCAUUAGCACCUUGGCUUCACCUUACCUCAAAUCUUCUCCAACCUUGGCAUCAAGCAUAGUUCCGCCACUAGAGGGUGCGUGUGAUGUGAUUAUGGGAACAAAACAACUCUUUCACGUUUCUCUUUUUUUAAUUAUUGGCAUUUUUUUAUUAAUACAACUUUGCUGCUUUCUUUUUUUUUGGGGGGAGGGGAUGUUCUGGUAUUUCUAUUUGGCUUCUUUUUGUAUGCCAUCUAUUAUGAGAAACACUUAAUUUUGUGAAGCAUUGAAGUUUUUCCUCUUUUAAUUGCUGAACUUUGAAAAUUAUACUCUUAAGUUGCUGGAUUCUCCCACAUUUCAAGAUAAGUAAAGAGGACUCUAGGAGAGUUGCGUGAGGGUUCUGUUACUAAUGGAGCAUAUAGGAUGAUAGUGAUCUUGAUGAAUGUUUCUGGUUGUGCAUGGUUGAGCAGUAAUAAACUUUACUCUAUAUGCAAAUAUGAACUGUAUAAGUGGUUUAAGAUGUUAGCAAGAAAGAAUUGAAAAGGGUAUACUCUUAUUGCUGAAGUAUAUCUGGCAAUCCAUGAAUUCAAAUUUUUCUAUUAAAAAUUUAGAACUUUUCAACAAAUUUAGGAUAUAUCUGAUAAGUGUGUUUUGUGUGUGUUGGAGCGAGGUUAUGCAACUGCUAAUGCCACUUGAGAAAUGUAUAAACUCACUUGAGAAAUGAAAGGAACAUAUUUUAACCAUAUAAUUAUUAAACUAAGUAAAUAAAAACAAUUUUAAUUAUCUGGCGUGGAAGUUCAUUGUUUAUUGCUUAUUGUAUAGUAUAGUGGUAAUUGCUUGUUUGAUUGUAUCUGUUGAUAACUGCAGUUGGAAAGAGGUUCCAAAUAGUGAUGAUUAUGUAUUAUUUUAAAAAGCUGCGAUCGAGUUUGGUAAUAAUCCAUUAUAUAUGGAUAUCAAUCAGUAGCAAAAUAAAAUUUUGGAGGAAUGAAUAAUAGAUGUACUUCUAAUGAUUGAAAUUAGGAGUGUAGUUAGUUUUAUUUUGAAGGAAUGAAUAAUACAUUUAAUGUUUGGGUUACAUACAUUUAAGACUUUUUGAAUCUUGUCUGGAAUAUUUAAAAUUUGUUUUCAAUAUUUAAAACUUAUGUUAAUUGUUUGUUAUUGAUAAUUAUAUUUUUGAUGUUGUGACCGGUAUCAUAAUUAUUACUUUGAUUUAUAUUAUGAUUAUUGUUUAUAUAUAAAUUUUUAAUAGGCAGAGGAUAAAUUUUUAACCCCGUCAUUUUUUAAGGGUGGGAGUAGGAGUUGUUAUGAGAUUCAAGGCAGAGUAAGCAAAAAUCGCCCCUAACCAUCUCAUUGUCAACCCUACUUGCUCCCUUCCCCCCACUAAUGUCUCUUUUAGAUCAAAUUGAUCAUUUUAUUAAUUUUUAACACCAACAAUAUCAAUAUUAAUUACGCAAAUUAAUAAAAGUAACAAUUUGAUUCAACAAAGAUAAAUAUUUAUUAGUAAUUUUUUAAUUAAUACUUUAUUAUAUAUAACUAUGAUUUUCAUAUGAUGCACAAAUUUAUCAUUAUAACUAUGUAAAAGAAUCUUUAUAAUUUAUAUAUUAUUAUAUUGUUAUAAAACUUUCAUCUUUGUUUAAUUAAUAUUUAGCCUUGUUAGCAAUUCUACUCAGUUAAAUAAUUAUAUCUUUAAUAUAAAUAUUUUUAUCCUAAUUGAUAUCCCCUAAAUACUCAAUUAAUAAUUGACUUUAAUUUUUUCAAAUAAGACCCCUAAUUUCAGGAUUGUAAAUUUUUUUCUUCAUUUGCGUGACUCAAAAUUGCACAAAUGACAACAACCAUCAUAUCAUAGAAUUAUUUUUGUUAUUGCAAUGUAAGGGAAUUGAGUUUGGUCCUUAAAAAUUAAUAUACGUAAAUUUGGGUAUCAUAAUUAUUUUGAUUGAAAUUAAUUAAUAUUCUAGUUGAAUAUUUAAAUAAUCUGAGGAAUUUUUUUCUUUAAGUUUAUAGUAUCAAAUUAUAUCAUUUAAUUAAUUAAUUAAUUAAUUAAUUGAUAUUAAAUUUGAAUUCAAAAUAUAUUUUACAUAACAUAUAUUGUCCCAUGCAAUACAUGUUUUUACAUAUUUUUAAAUACUUGUAGAUUUUUUUUUAUUACUUGGAGAUUUUUUCAUAUUUUAUAUAUUAUAAAUUAUAAAUAUUUAAUAUAACUUUUUUACCAUAAUUACCGCAAGUAUUAAAAAAAAUUAUUACUAUAAUAUUAAAUACAAUUAUUUAAUUUUUAUUUUCAGAAUAAUCAAAUAACAAAAACUUUAAGCAAUUAAUCACUAUUAUUUUCUAAUUUAUUUUAAUUAAACUAAUUAAUUAUUUAUAAUUACCUUAAUUGUGUAAAAGUGAAAACAUCAUAUUAGUUGCGGACAAACAGAUUUCAUUUUUAAUUAAAAUAUCUUAUGUUUUGUUAAUUAAGUUGUUGCUAAAUAAGAUUUUGUAUUGAUAAUCUAAUCAAAGACUUUUUGUUCUUAAAUUAUUUAUUUAUUUUUGAAUAUUUUUCUUUUUACUCAUAUUUUAGAUAGGAAAAUGUUAUCUUUAAGAGAAUUUUAAUGUUUUUAGUUUUUCUCCAACUUUUAGCCCAAUUAAAAGCAAUCUACACAACUGAUUAGAAAAUAUUAAAAUGAGAAACUGAUAAAAAAAAAAAGUGUUUGUAAUGUGUGUGUUUCUAAUAUUUAAAGAAGACAUUAUAGACUUAAUUCAAAGUUAUUCUCCCAAUAGUUAUUAUGAAUUGAGAUCAUAUAAUAUAUAGUAUCCAAAUCAUAGACCAUCAAUCAAACCAAAAACUAUGAAACUCAUUACACAUUAAAGCAUGGGUUCUCGUAUAGUCUUUACAUUUUAUUUUUUAUUUUUUGUUAUCUUUUUGAGGGUGUUGGAGUGUUCCUCCCUUUUCGUAAUUGCUUCUAGUCUUUUCUAAAAACACCACAAACAUUACAAACUAUACAACCUAAUUUGGUGUAGAUAAUGAUAUCAUGUUUCACACAAAUAAUAUGUACACAUUUCCACUACAAUUUAUAGAUUUUUGAUAGACUUGUGUUUGCGUGGAUGAUAAAUUAUUUUAACGCAUUUAUUCUUACUCAUCAAAUACCUAUAUUAUAUUUAUAACUGGUGAUAUUACUAGGUCUUUAGUUAUGUUAAACACGGUCUUUUAUAUAUAUUUUUGGUAUUCUAAUACUGGGAUUUUACAUUAAUAUCUGAUGCUAUUACUAGGAUUUUAAUUUUGUAUCAGUAUUAUAUUUAGUUGACAAAAUAGUAAACAUGAAUGGUAUUCUAAUACUAACACUACAAUGUAAAUAAAAUUAAAAUAAAAAAUAUUAAUUAAAAUAUAAGAGUUGAUUGAAAUAUAUCAUAUGAAUAUGGUUAGAAUAAGGUAUUAAUUAAAGUAACCAUACCCAUGUCUAUAUCCACAAAAAAUUAUGACCAGUUAUUAAUUUAUACUUAGACCAAAAAAUAGAUUUUAGUUUACAUCCUUUUUUAAAAAAAUUAUGCUGUUAAUUAAAUAAAGUUAUUUUGGAUAUAAUUUUUAAUAUAAUUAUUGUAAAAAUUAAUAAUUUUAUAGUAUAUAAUAACUCGUGAUUAGAUCACGAUGUAAAAUAUUAUUUAUUAUUUAUUACGAGUAAUUUUCAUAAGUAACUAGCCAACAAAUUUAGGCACAUAGAAUAAAUGGUUAGAUUGGAAAAAGUGUUACUCCCAGGUGCCAACUGGGUGUACUCGUUGUUUUUGACCCAAAAUUCAAUUAUUUCUAAUGUUCUUUGUUUCAGUUGGGUCCCCACAAGCCUAUUAAACCGGGCUAAGUUAUAUUGGGUUUGACCCAAUAAAGCGUGUGAAUGGUUCUGUAUUAAUAAUUGUUGACCCAGCCAUUCAAUUUUUCAACUAUUUACCAUUAUUAGUUUCGCUUACAAGUUAGAGUAAGUUUUUUUUUUUUUUAAAUCUCAAUGAGGUAAACUCAAAUUUUUUUUAAUUCCAUAUGCACCUUACAUCACUAAGACAAUUCUUUAGAUUGGUAAACUCUUAAAUGUGAAGCACAAAACUAUUUUUCCCAAAAUAUUAAGUGCUUGUUUGAAUUAAUUAUAACUAUGCAUUUUAACUUAUACAAUUGCAAUGUAUAAAUAAUUCAUGAUAAAAAAAUAUAAUGUAUAAAUAUUUUAAUGUUUAAAAAAAUUCAAGUAUAAAAUAUGUUAAACUUUAAAAUUUAAAGGAAAUUAUUUAAAAGAUAAGGAUAAUUUUCAAUUAUUAAUUAAUUUUUAUUAUAAUUUAAACUAAAAUAAAAAGAGUCACGUGAAUAGUAUUAUAUAAGAGUAAAUUUAAAAUUUUGUGAUGCUAAGAAAAUAUUUCUUUAAUAAAUAAAAAUGACAAAUUAAUACUACUAUUUGACAAAUUAGUUUUUCUUAUGGGAAUUUGACAAAUUAGUUAAUCACUCACAAACUCAAAUAACAUCAACAAUAAUCUAUUUUUGUUGAGAAAACGUUUAUGUUAAACAAUUUCAGUUUAAAAUAAUAUUUAUAAUAUAUGUAUAAAUAUUUUGGUACACACAUUUUUUAUCGUAUGUUAUCCUUAUAACUGCUCUCAUAAAUAUUUUUUUCUUCCUUUAAUUACACUAUUCAAACAACAUAUACUAAUAGUUACAUUAAUUAUGAAAACUACCACUAUUUAUUAAUUAACUUUCAUUAUUGUUACUCUAAAAAAAAAGACUUUCAUUAUUGUUCCCUUUUCUUUUCUUUUUUUUAAAUUAUAGAGGAGAACUGAAUGCAUUUUCUCUGCUAGUAUAAAAAAAGUAAAGAAACAUUUAAGGAACACCCAGCAUAAUAAAAAUUGGGAUGGAUAAAAAGAGUUACUGAUCAAAAUUUAAAACAUUGUAGCGUAUCCAAUAAAUAAUGGCGUGUUAUGGCGUAUCUAAUAAUAACAGCAUGGACAAUAGCAUUUACAAGGUGGCCCAAUUGUUGGUUGGUACGAAUCCCGUAAGAAGUGUUGGAUUGGACCGUUGAUAGAUGAUAAACAUUAUUAAUUUUAUUUAUGAUUAAUUUUAAUGAGAUUUUUUAUUUAUAGGAAUUAAAAUUAAAAUUUUACUUAAAAAAAUUAAAUUCAGUACUACUCUAUAUUAACUUGUAGGUCCAUUGCUAGUAUUGUUACUGUUACAUGCUAGUGCCUAGUGAGAGAGAAAGUCCUUUUGGUGUCUUCAGAGAUCAGAGAUGCAUGCAACCAUUCCUUGUUUGUUUCCUUCUUUUUAAAAACCACAAAACAUGUGUAUACAGAUUCCAGGUUUAAGGAGUGCAAACAAACAGAGCGUCAGACACAGACACAGCUAUUACUACAACACAACAAAAAACACUUAUACUGAGAAAAUAAAUCACCGUACGUUAACGGCUAGGAGAACAGGUGCAUGUCUUCCUCCUCCACAUGCACAUUAAACACACUAAUCAUUAUAAAGUAGUAUUUGUAUACCAACUUACACUCAUAAUUCAUUCUUAAUUUGCUAUUCCAACUCCUUUUUUUUUAUCAUAACUUGAGAUGAGAGUACACUAAAAAAAAGAAAAGAGGUGAGAAUAUUUAAUUAUAAUUAAUAAAAAGGCAUACCCAACGACUAACGUGCAUAUGUAUGUUUACAUAUUUUUAUUUUUAAUAAGAUGUUGAAUUUGAUAUAUUUGUCAGUUUUUUUUUUUUUUUUUUUACAUAUAUACUAAUGUGUAUGCUAUAAUUUUGGUUUGUUAAUUUAAUUUUUAACUUAUUAAAACCGAAUAUGAGAAAGAUAAAAUGAGAGAAGUGGGUGAUAUCUUUAAAGAAAUAAUUAAAGGAUAAAAUUAUUUAAUAUAAUGUGUACGCAUAAAAAAGUUGUCUUUAUUAUUGAUAUAGAUCAUUAGAUUAAAAUUAGAAUUUUAAAUUAAUUAUUUAACUAUAAAUAUUUAUUAAUAAAUAUGUGAUUUAAAAUCUUAAUUUUAAUUAAAUGACUAAAAAAUUAAUUUUUCUAACAACAAUUAAGAAUAUAUGCUCUCUUUUUCUCCUUUUUUUAGUACACAUUUUUCCUUUUUUUUGUGUGUGUACACCUUUUCCUCUCUCUAUUUAUCCUAGUUUGAGUUAAAUACAUCAAACAUUCGGUGCGAUUAACUCUUUCGUUUAAACGUUUUUAUAUGUAAGGUUUAAAUUUGAAGCCUUAUUAAAUAUUAUUAUUAAUGAACUCAUUAAUAGUAUAGUUUAAACUAUUCAAACUAUACGAGUUUUUGGCAUUGCUUGAUCUAACUGUUAAAGCAAGCUCGAUUCUUUUAAAAAAUAUUCGAGUCUUACAUAACCCGAAGUUUAUUUAAGUACCUCACGUAAUCUUUACAACUACAUUUUCACAUUAUAAAAUGAAGAUACGAAUAACUAAACAAAUAAAACAUUAAAAGGAGAAAAAGGUGCUUCUUAAUCUCAACUCAAGUCUUGUUAAUGUUUCCUGGGUUUUGGGCUAAUUCUUUAGCUUGGGUAUCGUUUGGUAGGGUGAAAAACAUAAAAAGAAAAUAAGAUGCAAUCAAAAUUUUGAAUUAAAAUAUGAAUUUUAUUUUAUUUUAUUACUUUUUUUUCUCUUUAUGCAAACUAUUGGAGAAACUUACCACUUGUCAAUAGUUGUAUAAUAUUUACACAAUGUAAUGAUUUAUUAGCGUGGGAUUGAAUAAACGUUGAUAAAAUUAAUUUUAAAAUAAUAUAAUUUAUAUUUAGAUAUUUUAUUAUAAAAUUAAAUGAAAAAUAAAAUUUAUUAUAAAUUUUUGAAUUCAAUGUAAAAAUAACUCAAAAUUCCUUGACAGAAUAGUUUUGGCAAGCCAAAGACACACUUACCCGUUUAAUUUGUCUGACAAGCUUUCCACGUGUGAUUUCUGUCUUGAUCUUGUAGCCCCCUCUCUCAAACACAACACAGUCAUAUAUUCUCUCCUACAACUUUACCCCACUUUCUCUGCUUUUCAAUUUUACUCCUUCUUCCGGUUUUCAUUUUCAUUUUCUUCACAUUCCUCCUUUCUCUCUCUUUCAUUAUUGAGAGAGAGUUCUUCUCUCCAGACUUCUCAAUCCUAUGGCUCUGCAUUUUCUUCUCCUCCUGCUUUUUGCAGUGUCUUUUGUUGCUGCUGAUGAAGGUUAGUGACUUGACACUUUUACCCCUCUCCCCCCUUUUUGUUUUCUUUGCUAACUCUCCUGUUAUGAGAUCCUGUGUUUUCCACUAUUUUGAGUUAUGCUUGCAUUCUGAAUCUUUCAUUGCCCUUUAUUUUGUUUUCUCUACUUAGUUUGGCAUUGUUUUAGAAUCACUGCAAAACUCACUUUUGUUUAACCUGCAUGGUUCUUCUUGAGCCUUUACUUGUUCAGUUCUCAGUUCUCCUAUGACUCCUUGCUGUUUUCUUGAGGAGUUUUUGGAGUUUGCUUUGUGGGGAAUAGAACUUAACCAUGCUUUGUCAUAUCAAGGUCCAAAUACACUCUUCCCAUUUUCACACCUUUCCUAGCAGUAGCACACCCUUGCUGUGGAUUAGGAACUUAGAAUGUUAUUUGAGAUUUAAUUAGUGUUAAAAUGUUCAGAACCAAGGUUUGAUGGGGUCAUGCAAUAGCUGAGAUAUAAUUGGUUAUUUUGUUAGUCUGUUUCCUAGUAGAGUUUGUGUGUUUUUCCUUUGCAUUUUUAUCCUGUAUGGGAUUGAACUUCUGGCUAAUAAUUAAUAAACAUAUGUUUUUAAAAAUAGUCAGGGUUUUGUUGGUUGUUGAUCUUCUUGGAUGCGGUCCUCCUGUAGGAUUCAGAUUUUUGUAAAUUGAAUAGGACGUUUCUUUUGUCCUUCUAGUAAGUCACGUAUUGUCAUUUUCCCCAACAUUUGGAUGUGUGUAAUACUUUGUAGUAGAGGUUGGGGAAGUUAUUUUUGGAAAAGCUUUCUACUUUUGGGGAGCUAUUCUAUUGUCAUUUUCCCUCAAAACUUGGUUUGUUUGGAACAAACAUAAUGUGCGUAAGAGUCUGCUUGCAUAUGUUUCCCAGUUACAACUGGACUUGGUUAAUUCAGUGAGGACUUAAAUCUAAUUUUUGAUGGAUCUUAAUGUUUGUACCUUGCAGAACCAUUUAUAGGAGUGAAUAUUGGAACAGAUCUCUCUGAUAUGCCACACCCUACUCAAGUAGUAGCUCUACUUAAAGCCCAACAAAUUCGUCAUGUUCGUUUGUAUGAUGCAGACCAAGCUAUGCUCCUUGCACUUGCAAAGACAGGCAUUCAGGUUGUUGUGACUGUCCCAAAUGAAGAGAUCCUGGCAAUUGGUCAAUCGAAUUCCACGGCUGCCAAUUGGGUUUCCCGCAACGUGGUAGCACAUUAUCCAGCCACCAAUAUCACAGCCAUUUGUGUUGGUUCUGAGGUUUUAACUACCCUCCCGAAUGCGGCAAAAGUACUUGUCAGUGCGAUUAAAUACAUCCAUUCAGCCCUUGUGGCAUCCAAUCUUGAUCGCCAAGUUAAAGUUUCAACACCCCUUUCCUCAUCCAUCAUUCUUGAUUCAUUUCCACCUUCUCAGGCUUUCUUUAACCGCUCACUCAAUCCAGUUUUAGUCCCACUACUUGAUUUCUUGCAAUCCACUGGCUCUUAUCUGAUGCUAAACAUAUACCCUUACUAUGACUACAUGCAAUCAAAUGGAGUGAUUCCAUUAGAUUAUGCACUUUUCAAAUCUCUCCCUCCAAACAAAGAAGCUGUUGAUUCCAAUACCCUCCUCCACUACACCAAUGUCUUUGAUGCCAUGGUUGAUGCUGCAUACUUUGCCAUAGCUUUUCUAAAUUACACCAACAUUCCUGUUGUGGUGACUGAGUCAGGGUGGCCCUCAAAAGGUGGCUCCAACGAACCUGAUGCAACGGUGGACAAUGCAAAUACUUACAACAGCAAUUUGAUCAAACAUGUGUUUAACAAAACCGGAACUCCCAAACAUCCUGGAAUUGCUGUUAGUACUUACAUCUAUGAGCUCUACAACGAGGAUAUGAAGCCUGGGCCAUUGUCAGAGAAGAACUGGGGACUGUUUGAUGCAAAUGGAACACCUAUUUACAUUCUACACUUGACAGAGUCAGGGGCAGUCUUAGCAAAUGAUACCAGCAACAAUACUUUCUGCAUUGCAAAGGACGGUGCUGACCCGAAGAUGCUGCAGGCUGCACUAGAUUGGGCAUGUGGACCGGGCAAGGUCGAAUGCUCUCCAUUGCUGCAGGGGCAACCAUGCUAUGAACCGGACAAUGUGAUUGCACAUGCAAAUUAUGCAUUUGACACUUACUAUCAUAAGAUGGGAAAGACUCCUGAUGCAUGUGACUUCAAUGGAGUGGCUACUAUCUCCACCUCAGAUCCAAGUAAAUUAUUGUUCCCUAAUGCUAUGCUGGAUUAGCUUUAGCAUUUUUAUAUUUCUGUCAAUUUCUAUCUGCAAUCACUUCUAGGAUAAUUAACACAUUUUUUGAAUGAUUGUAUAGGUCAUGGUUCUUGUUUAUUUCCUGGAAGGUAAGAUAAGAUAUUUGCUUCUUUGGUUCAUUUUCAUUCUUUUCAUUAUCAUCCUAUGUUUGUUGUGUUGUUAACUUGUUAUUGCUCAAAAGUGAUGUCUUUGUGAAUAUGUGCAGUGUUGGCAAAAAUGGAACCUUAGGUAACUUCACAGCUCCAUCCAUGAAUUCUACAAAUUCAGAUUCCUCAGCCUACAAAUUCAGCUCUGACUUGAGAAUUAGAAGCCUUUUAAUGGUAGCAGGAUUUCUAUUAUGGGGAGUGGUUUUGCUAUAAAGUGGUAUAUGUCAGAUCGUGUUACUUUGAAAAAUUUUGUGGUGGAUGAUAAUGCUACUACUACAUAUUCGUCUUGGUAGCAUUGUGUUGUUCAUAGUGGUCCAUUCAAUUUUGUACAAAAACCAGCCAAGGGUUUGGACCGAAUGAGGCCGCAACUGAAUCAUCAUCAUCAUUAUUAUUCUUUUCAACUAGAAUUGAUUCAAUCUUUAUCAACCAUUGACUAUUUUUUAUUGGGUUAGUUAUAAUCUUGUGCUAUAUAAAUAUAUAUUGCACCCCCUCCCUCCCCCAAAAAAGGAAAAAAGAAGACUAUACUCAUUAUACAAAUCCACAGGGCUAUUAUUACAAAUUUGUCUAUGUAACUUUGUUUGAUUCAACUUGAAAGAGAAUAUAAAUUAGUAAGCCCAUCAUUAACCGAAAAACGUCUGAAAAUGUCAUGGGUUCUUGAGGUUAUAUUCAUUUGUUAACACGGGGCUUGUUUUUCUAUUACUGAAUUAGUCCAAGUGUCUAAUAUAGACAAAUUGCCGUUUCUGGUAUGUAUAUCUAUUGCUAAUUAGUUAGAUCAAUCGUAAUCUGGUAUGUUUCUAUUGUAUAAAUUGCUAGGCCUAUAGGAAUUAGGAAUACUCAGUUUAGAAUUUUAAUUUUAACCUUAUAUUCAAUUUUUUAAAAUGCAAAUGCUUUUUAAUUUCGUGUCUUUUUCGAGUUUUUCUUGUUAAUAAAAGUAUUUUUUUUAUUCAAAACAUCUUAUAUACAAAUAACGUAAAAGAAUAAACUAUAAAGGAAUGUCACGGUUAUAUAUAUAUAUACAUUGUAUCCAGUCUCAAUAGUUAUUAAAGGAAAUAAGAGCAUUUAGUUUUAAUCAUUGAAUUAAUUGCUCAGAUUGCAUUUUUUAUUAUAAAUAUCAUGCAAUUUGAAUUAAAAAAUCGUGUGAAGUUUAUAAAUUAGCAUGCAUUUUGAAGUGUUAAUUUUAAUCAAAUGAUUGUAAUUAAAUUCAUUUAUUUAUCAUAGUCAAAAGUUUUCACCUUAUUGUCACUUUAUAGAUAGAGAUAGAGGUGGAUUAUUGUUUCCCAAAAAUGUUUUAAUAUUUUUGAAAAAUCAUAUGAACUUUGUUUUUUUAUAUGUAAAUAAAAAUGAUCAAAUAGUUCAAGAACCGUAGAUUAAUUUAACCUUUGAAAAAUGAGUUGGAAGCAUUAACUCACUUUUUUGGGGAUAGACGGGCAAAAUGAUAUAAGUUAAUCUGUAUUAAUUUGAAGAAAAAACAGUAAUUGAAAUUUGAAAAACUAACUAAAAUUUUUAAAAAACUAAUUAAUAGCUAAUAGUUGUUAGGUUAAUUUUUUGUUACAAUAUUUUUUUUUUGUCAAAAAGAAGAGUUUAAGCUUGAUCUUGUUUUGAUUAUAGUUGUCGUGUGGAAAAAAAAUCAGUUAAGUAUAUAAAGCAAAUAAAAUUGGUUUGCACUACUCUUUUUUUUUUUAUGAAAAUUUGUUUGCACUACUUUUUGAUUGUUAUCUCCCUCCACAGGACAACUCUAUGCAUAUAAAUUAUUCAGUUUUAUACUUUAUUUUAUUUUUUAAUUAUAUAUACAUUUUAACAUUUUUUUUUAAAAUCCCGACUUAACACACGACAACUCUUGCAUUUUUGGCAUCGUGCAUAGGUGCUCGGUGCUCCCGUUUUUCGGCUUAAACGGCGGUACAGCCGAACAGUUACAGUGGCAAAUUGGUAAUUUCCAAAUCCCAAAACCCUAGCUCAAUCGGGGAUAUAUAAAUCAACUACGAGCCUCAUCCUCCCACAAGUUUCUCUGUUUUUUUUUUUUUUUUUUCAGUUCUGAUCAUUUUUCUUAACCUUAGAUGGAUAUCACUUCUCCAAUUUUUUCUGUUUUCAAUAAGCGAUUUUUUGUUGAAAGUGACGUGCAUCUACUAUGAUUCUCUUUUGCUCUAACAGUGGAAUAGAGAAUACGAAAAGAUGCAAAAUCAACAGGUUCCUCUAUGGACUGGCAUAGUCCCAAUUCUCAAUGGAUUUUUGCUAUUUCUCGUAGGUUCCACAAUUUCUAACCUUUUAACCAAUUUUCGCUUUCCCCCCUUUCUGGGUUUUGGUUUUCAUUCCCCAAAAUUAAGGAAUCCAUUGCAAGCAUCUUACUUUUACUUUUGCUUUUUAAUUUUUUUUAGUCUUCUGGGUUCUGAUUAUUUUUCCAUAAAAUUAACAAAUUCAUUACAAAGUUUGCAUUUUUUUUUGUUUGAAUCGAAUUGGAACCGUUCUAUGUUUUAUUGUUUUUCAGAUCUCACUUCUGGGUUCUUUUAUUUUUCCUUAAAGUUAACGAAUCCAUUACAAAGUUUGCAUUCUUUUUUGUUUGAAUUGAAAUAGAACCAUUUUAUGUUUAUUGUUUUUCUGAUCUCUCAUCUGGGUUCUGAUUAUUUUUCCUUAAAGUUAACGAAUUCAUUACAAGGUUUGCAUUUUUUGUUGUUUGAAUUGAAUUGGAACAGUUUUAUGUUUUUUUUAUUGUUUUUCUGAUCUCUACUCUAUGUAUAUGAAUGCUCGAUGAUUUUUUUGCUUUAACCACACCGAAUAGGGGCUGGACGAGGUUAUGGGUUCCCUUUUUCUUUAAGUGAUCUUUUUGUACUUGGUUUUGCCUCGUGAUUUCAUCUUCUAGCUGAAGAGGUAUUUAGUUACCUCUCCUUUUAGACAUUGGGAGAGGGCAUUUUCCAGCACUUGAAGUCUCGGCUUAAAUUGUAGGGGUCUUUACUCGUCUCAAGUUUUCUCAUGUGGAAAAAACUGGCCUUUCAACUGAGAGCAAUUCAUUACUGUAACUCUUCGAUGUUUUUGAAAAAUUGUUUUUAAUUCGCUUGUCAUUCUUGAUUGUUGAUUUGUCUCAUGGUGAUUGUUAUGGAUCUAUGGAAAGGAAGAUUGAAUUGGAUUGAUUAGGUCUUCUGCAGGUCCCAGAAGACUGCAGGGGGGGUGUUCUA